RNAcentral lists this long non-coding RNA (59941 nucleotides) under Ananas comosus (pineapple). RNAcentral describes it as "long non-coding RNA (ACOM_LNC033840)". The record is from RNAcentral. Lineage: Eukaryota; Viridiplantae; Streptophyta; Magnoliopsida; Poales; Bromeliaceae.
UAGGGCAGCUGUGAGUGCGACCUUUGCGGUGGCGGAGGAGAAGAAAACGAGGGGUGCACAAGAGCAUCUCUGAAUUAGCAGUUUUGUUUGUUUAAAAUUUAAAAAAAAACUAAAGGCCGAAAGUAGAGAAUAAUAAAAAAAAAAUUAUAGAAGAAGAAAGAAGAUGAUGAAACUGUACUGUUAAAAUUAAAUCACACUAUUUUAAAAAAAUAUUACACUAUUAUGAACCUAAGUUGCACUCUUUGAAAUAUAAAUUAUAUCAUUUAAGAUGAAAGUUACACUCUUUAAAUAAAAAUUAUACUCUUUCAGAGAUAUUUAUAUUAUUUAUCUUCUUAUUGUACUAUUUGAAAUAUAAAUUACACUAUUUAAAAAAAGAAAUAGUAUAUAUAUAUUUUUAUUUAAAAAAUAUAAUUUUUAUCUUAUGUGACGCAAUUAAAAUCAAACCUUCAAAAUGUAUCUCCACAUACUAUGGCUUCGGAGAGAGUCUUCGCAAAUGGGAUACGCUUCGUGCAAAUGGCUUGAUUGGCACGAAUAUAUGAAUUGAUCUGCUUUCUUAAUUUUGGAAAAAAGUUAGUAGCUAGCGCGUAAAAAAAGUGGAGGAUCAGAAUCAAUCUUAUCUAGAACCCCAGUCAAUCAACCACCGCUCGAUACCGUAUUAAAGAUUUGGACCAAAAUACUUUUGGUAGGAACGUGUAUUUAAAAUUCGAACACGGGGUGAAUAAUAAUACAUCACGGUGUAUGCCUUGCCAAAUUAUCUCAACAAAAACUUGCUGAGGCUCUCCUCAAUAAUAAAAUGCACUUGAAUGUAAACUGACAAAACACUAUUUUCUAGCCCAUUAAAAUUUUGCAUGAACCAGUUAUUUCUUAUAGAAAAGUCAGUCCCAAAUUGGCCUAAUCUUUUGGUUUGAAAGGCCAUUUUAGGAUCAGUUGCCGCCCAGCAGGCCUUAAUUCCAUUUCGGACCAAUUGUCAGUCCUAAUCCCUUCACAUGUUUCUUUCUCAAGUUGGGUUUCAAAAUCACCCAGGUUAAUUUUUUUUUUUUGGGUAAACUCCAAAUACUACCUUUGUUAUUUCGCACUCUCUCAUUUUAAUAUCUCAUAGUUUAAAGUAUAUUAAUUUAGUAUUCUGUGAACUUCAAAUACCAACUUUUCAUUAAAUAUAUAGAAAAAAACUUCAGAUAUCCCAUCUAUAUAGUUUAUCGAAUAUUCACUUUAGUGCCCUUUAGUUUUAACUUUAUCACUGAUCUGAUGAAAAAAUUAGUAAAGCAAAAUAACAAAAAGAGAAAAAUAAAAUCAUACAGUACGAAAGCGAUACACUUUAAAGCAUAGGGUACUAGAGCAAAAAUUGGAAACUACGGGGGUGGUAUUUGAAGUUUUUUUUUUAAUAAAAAAUUGUGUCCAUGGAUCGCACAACGUAUUAUGUAAACACCGCGAGAAUGUAUAAUAAAAAAUAUUUCAUUUAUAAUUACGGUAUAAUUUUUGCUGUUGAAAUUUUAACCCACGGAAGGCUCCUUUUAUAAUUAGUGGAAGUAAAUGUUAUAUACGCACCAUGAGAAUGUACAAUAAAAAAGUGUUUAAUUUGUUUGUAAUUAUAACAUAAUAAUUUUUACAGUAAAAACAUUAAAAGUUAAAACAGUCUCAAUAAAAAAAAAUAAUAAUGUUGAGGGUCUGUUGCAAAAUAAUGACCUAUCAUUGAGGAGUCUCUAUACAUUUUUUUUUUUUUUUUUUUGAGAGUGAAAAAUAGUAUGUUAUUUGUUUUGUUCAUUCUUUUAAAAAAAAAUUAGCUGAUAAUAUAAAGUCCUCUACUAAUGCAUUUUUAACUUCUAAAAUUACAGAAUAUCAAAAUACAAGUAGGCCAAGGGCAAGUUUGUUUCGCUCGGAUCAGAAGAGCUCGAAGAUUGUUAAAUAUAAAAAUAUAUAUACACCGUUGUCUAACAGUUUAAAAUUUUAAAAUAUAAUAAUUAUUUCACAUAAUAUCAUAUCAUUAGGAUCUGAAAAAACAAGCAAGCUUAAACUAGAAAAGGCCUAACUUAAAUUUUUGUAAAAAGGAGAAACAGAAACGAAAAGGAAAUAGUAUAUAAUAUAGAAUUAAUUUCAUAUAGGUCCAUGUAAAUAUAGUGAAUUAUAAAUAUAUUCCUAUAAAAUUCAAAUUCAUAUAUUAUCCUUACAAAAGUCUUAAUAUUUUCAAAUAUAUCUUCUGAUUUGUUACCGUUAAAAUAUUAUUUAUUUUAUAAGUGAAAUAAUCUUUUUACCAUCACAAAUAUAUCCCUCCAAAAAUCCCAACUAUUAAUUAAAGUGGGGUAAAAUGGUCAAUUUACCUCAUUAACUAAAUAGGGUUAAGUAUUUUAUUUAUGGUUAACUAAUUUUUUCUAACGGAUCCUAACGGCAGAGAUAUAUUGAAAAUAUCAGAAUUUUUAUAGAAAUAACAUAUAAAAAUUAAACUUUAUAGAAAUAUAUUUAUAAUUUAUUAUAUUUAUAGAAAUCUGAAUGAAAUUAACCCUCUAAUUAAGACAGUUAGGUCAGGAUUCUGGACCUGAACCCAAAUCUAACGCGUUGGCUGGCAAAUGAUGUUGACCCGAAUGUUUACAAAUGUGCGAUCCAUAUGGGUCAGAUCAAAUGAGUCCCGUCAAACUGGCCAAUUUGAGAACUGAGACUUCCAAAACUAACACAAGUGGCAAAAGAUUUGGUGGUUGGUAUCCGAGAUCUUAAGUUCGAAUUCUAGUUGAUUCACAUUUUUAGCUAAAUUUAUUUCUAAAUAGAAUAAAUGAUGCGGGUAGCAUGCUAUCUAUCUCUCAGAAAAAACUUUUACUAAAAAUUUGAGAAGAGAAUGACACUUUAUUACGAUUUCAUUGGCCGACUGCAUCUAGCGUAAUUAGUUGAGGACUAGCUUGAUGGUUGGUUUUGAGAUUCGAAAUGUUAUUACUUAUGUAAAUUUUUUCUAAAAAAAUAAACGACACGGAAAACAUACUAUUCCUUCUAAAAAACUAUCAUUAUAAUUUUAGAAUGCAAAAAUGGAAGCCUCCUUUAGCAUUAUUAUUAUUUGUUUUCUCUUAUUUGUUAUAUAAAAUUUGCGUUGGCUUUUUAUUAAUUUAGAGAAAAAAAAAAGAUACUAAAUACUUUCAUUGGCAAAGAAAAUAUUUUCAUUGGCAAAGAAAUAUACAGUGCAAGCAUUUCACCAUUUAUUCUCACACUCCAGCGCGUGAAAUUUAUAUUAAAAAAGUUAAAACAAAAGGAUAAUAAGAUCAACUGAGCCCUAAAUUGAGAUUAGGCUCUUAAGUUCAGCUAAUUAAAAGUUUACUUAAAAUCGAAUGCAUUACAGUAGAGUGGUUUAGCAAAAGCAAACUGUGCAUAAAAACAAUGUAGUAAAAAUAAAUUUACGUAUACAAAUAGAUGCAUAAAUUGUUUUUUCUUUUUCUUUUUUUUCAUGAUCUCCACCACGAUGUGAUCCAAUAUUUAUGAUCCAAAAAUGAAUGGCUCCUUAUUAAUUCCUCUCGCUUAAAUUUCAAUUUCAAAAAUCUCAAAAAUUGAGCACACCACUAGCGUAGUAAGGAGACCACUGCUCCAUCCACGGGCUACGUAGCUGCGUCAGGAACGGAUCCUGCAUCCACUCCAACCCGCUAUACUUGGGAACCUCGAGCUCGGCGAGGCCGGUCGGUCGGACAAGUCGGUCGGCCGGUUGAGCGGCGGAUUCGAUCGUCGACGGCGUCGGUUCCGCCUCCACCUCUUCGCAGUAGUCGGCUGCUGCCCCCACCUCCUUCGUUUCGAACUCGAGGGGGCUCACGAUGUCGUCCACCGGCGGCGGCGUCCAUUUCUGGGAGCUCUCCUGAUCGGAGCACGAAACGGAGUCCAUCGCGGGCGAAGCGGAGAUCUGCGGGGCCUCCGGCGCCGUCGCCGCCCUCUGCUCCAGCUCCUUCAGCGACGUGGUGGAUGUAAGUAGUACUCAAUCGAAUUCAUGACCUCUCGGUGUGAAGAGGCUCAGGAUUGGUCAGAAACCUUUCUAUCAAAUUAGUCUUUUUUUAGAUGCGUUUUUGGCUGUCAAGUUUUACUCUUGCACUAAUUUUAAAGCAUCCUAAAAUACAAUUCAGCGGCAGGAGAGAGUGACGAAUCUCAAAAGACCAAUCUGAUAAUUAUUUUUUUUUUCUUUUUUUUUUUUCCUCGGAAGUGACUUUAAUAUUAUUAUUAUCAUUAUUUGUUGGCUGUCCGAAGUGACUCUGAUAUCAUAUAAACUAGAAGAUCCGAAUGUCGAUGCCAUUAUGCAAAUAUAUUAGAAAUUCAUUCUUUCCCAACCGUAUGUAUUGUUUCUAUUGAUAACUAUUAGCCGUAGAAAUUCUUUUUUUUUUUUUUUUUUUUUUUUUUCUUUUGGAGCCCUGAUUGUCUCACCUCUGUAGCCUAAUUCACUUAUCAAUGAAUGAAGCAGGUAGCGUACUACCGAUUCUCAAAAAAAAAAACUAUUAGCUGUAAUAAGAAAUUUUCUAGGAGCUUUGUAAUUAUGCAUUGCAAUUAUGCGUACAUUAAACAUGCAAAUGGAUAUGAGAAAUUAAUUUUUUUUUUUCUUUUACUUCCACAAGGAGUGCAGAAUUAAUUAAAUUAGCUAUAGUGCACGCGCUCAUCAUACACAUGACAAACGAUCGGAUUUGUUGUUAAAUAAAGAUAAAAAAUAUUGAUGGUAAUUUUACAAAUACUUGGUGGAUAAUUUCACAAUCUACUCUCUAUAAGUAUCAAAUAAAACUUCAAGCACAAGAGCAAUAAUAAAAUAAACAAAACCAUAAGAACACAAGGAUUUACGUUGUUCGGCUAUUCCUACAUUCACGGAAGAACAAUACAAAAAAAGAUUCCACUAUAAACUUGAAAAUUAUAAGAGAGAUUCAAAUGAGAAAAAUAUCACCUUAACUUUAAGAUAUAUCGGCUAUUUCUACGUCCACGGAAGAACAAUACAAAAAAAGAUUUCACUAUAAACUUGAAGAUUAUAAGAGAGAUUCAAAUGAGAGAAAUAUCAUAUUAACUUCAAGAUAUACAAAAGAGAGCUCCAACAAUUUUUGGCUCUACCCAAAUAGUGUAAACCAUACAUCACAAGAAAGAUCUCACAUCCUUCUUGACAGAACGAAGAUCAAAACCAAACUCUAGAGUUUUCUCUCUUUUCUCCCACUUCUUUUCUCACUCUCUAGUUCUCUCUCUUUUUUUUUUCUUCAUAUUCUAAAAUCGCACUUUAGCUUAGGGAUGCAAACGGAGCGGAUUUGGGGGCGGGAGCCCCGCCCAGCCUACCUCCCACUCAGACUAGCAAAAUCCCGCACCGCCUCCCGCCCCGAAUCCGUGACGGGUUAAAAAAAUAUAUCCCAUAAUCCGCCCCGUCUUGUAACCCGCCUCCAGUCGGCGCUCCGAAUUCGCCCCGCCAACUAAUAUUUUUUUAUAAAAUUAUAAUAUUAUUAGUAUUUUGUAAAAUAUAAAAUAAUAAUUUUUAAUAAUAUUAUAUAUAUAAUUUAAUAAUAUCAAUUAUAAAAAUAAAAAACAUCAAUCACAAUUCAAAACAAAAUUCAAAAGUUUCAAAUACAUUAGAAAUGAGAGUACUAACUUAUUUGUAUUUUAAACUUUUUUGUAAAUUACAUUAUUUUUUAGGAAUAUUUUUUAAAAUAUAAAUAAUUUUCGGGACGGGCGGAUUCGGGGCGGAUCAUAGCGGGGCGGAUUUGGGGCGGAUUCGGGGCGGAUCAAAAUUUCUCUCGUUUCCUGCCCCGAAUCCGUUCCGGAUCAUAAAAUUUAUUCCGUUUCCCGUCCCGAAUCCGUUUAUUUUCUCUCAUUUGCUGCCUCCGUCGGGGUGGAUCGGGGCGGGAACUCCACCAACCCAGAUCCAUUUGCACUCCUACUUUAGCUCCUAAGAGAAAAACCUAUCAAUAUGGGCAUUUGGAUAAAAAAAUAAAAUGAUCCAGAAGCUUACAAAUAGGGGCCCACAUACACAAUAAGAAAAUAUAGAAAUAGCAGAUUUUGACUUUAUCAAAUUAUAUAGUCCAAAUAGUAAGACCCUAAUAACAAAUAGACUCAAUAAAAUUAGCUCAACAGGACUGAAUGAUUUCCAGUUUGGUGAUUUUUGAUUCACGGCAGGCUCCCAACCUACUCCUUGAAAUGCAGGUCAACAUGAGUACGCCCAAGCUCGCCACACCAAUCUGAGCCCAAGCAUUCAAUCCCAGCCCCUCUAAUAUUACAUGCAGACCCAUCCCUGACAGUAACGGCGGCCCCCAAGAUAAGUCUGCAGGUUGAAUGCAACCAUUAGGUCCACUCAAGAAUGCCUGAAGGCCCAGCCCGAUAAAAUAAAGCACUACCAUAGAUCGCAAGAAAGUUCGAUCUUGAAGCGCCGAGUCCCAAGUUCGAAUCCUAGUUAAUUCAUAUUUCUAACUAAGUUUAUUUCUGAAUGAAAUAAAUCAAGCGGAUAGCCUAUCCCUCAAAAAAAAAAAAAAAAAAAAAAAAAAAAGCGCCGAGUCGAACGCCCUCUCUUUGACCGCAUCUGGAUGCGAUCUUAAUAUUAUUAUUUUUAGUUGGAAUGCGAAGUCUAGUACUGGUCCCUAAAGAGACAAAUUUUGGCUAGUCUCCGUCAAAUUUUCUGUCUUUGAUAAUUAUUGAUUGAAAAUAUAUUUGUCCUAAAUAAAUUUUUUUUUUUUGGUAGAUAUACAAGAAGACCGUGUCAACUACUACUUUGCAAAUAAGGUAUUUUUUGGGAGUUUUUUUUUUUUCUUGAGAUUUUCAUUGAAUUUGAACUCAUUCAUUCCGUAUGAUAUUUUGGAUCCAGAUACAAUCUUUGGUUGCAGUAACUACAUGGCACUUAAUGGAUCUGAAAUUCAAAUGCCGCUUCAAACAAGAUAUCAUCUACAUUAAGCCGAAACUUACUAAAAAACAAGUACAAUAAAAAUAAAAAUAAAUCAUUGUGAGGUUGGCAUUUCAACAGUGGAGAGGCCAAUUUGUGAUCCUCUUCUUUUUUAAAAAAAAAAAGAAAAAAAAGAAAAAAGAAAAAAGAAAAGACACUUGAAUAACGAGGUUUUUAUUGGGUUCUUUCUUCUACAAAUACCAAUCCCCGCUCCUCCCAUUCGCCACAUCAGAAAAACAAAAUGAAGUUCUCUGUCUUCAUCAUCUUACUUGUCUCAAUUACCGCCUCGCUGCAUGGCGUCCUUGCUGAGCAGUGCGGCAGCCAAGCCGGAGGCGCCCUGUGCUCCGGCGGCCUUUGCUGCAGCAAGUGGGGCUACUGCGGAAACACUCCCCCUUACUGCGACGACGGCUGUCAGAGCCAGUGUUCCCAGCCCUCCCCGCCACCGGCUUCCCCGCCCUCACCGCCGCCUUUCCCUCCUUCGGCGCCCUCGCCGGGCAGCGACGGAGUCGCAUCGAUCAUCUCCUCCGAUCUGUUCGACGAGAUGCUGAUGCACCGCAAUGACGCCGCCUGCCCGGCCCACGGGUUCUACCAGUACGAAGACUUCAUCGCGGCCACCAACGCAUUCGUCGACUUCGGGACGACGGGCGACCUCGACACCCGCAAGCGGGAGAUCGCGGCGUUCUUGGCGCAGACGUCGCACGAGACCACCGGUAUGUUCUUAUAUAAUUUAUGUGGAUUGAAUUGAACUAGUACGAUCGAUUCAAACGACUUCACACAUACAAAAAUACAAAAUAUGAUCGAAAUGACUGGUAUACAGGUGGAUAUAAUACAGGCGGGUGGGCGCCACCGCCGACUACUGCGUUCCGAGCACGCAGUGGCCGUGCGCAACCGGGAAGGAGUACUACGGCCGUGGGCCCAUUCAAAUCUCCUAGUAUGUAUAGUAGUAAUGUUUUUUGAACUAUUAAUUAAUAAUGUGUCGAAUUGAUCAGUUUCCAAUAUUUAGUUAGUUAAUAGAAAGAUAAUGUGUAGAAACCAAGUCAACAUUUUUUUCUGGUUGAAUUUAGUCAAAUUCCGACAGAUGUUUUGAUUGGAAUUAUUGCAGCAAUUUCAACUACGGCCUGGUGGGGGAAGCCCUCGGAGUGGACCUGCUCAACAAACCGGACUUGGUGGCGACGAAUCCGACAAUCUCGUUCGAGACCGCACUCUGGUUCUGGAUGACCCCUCAACCGCCCAUGCCGUCGUGGCACGACGUGAUCACCGAUCGCUGGACCCCCUCCGCCGCCGACAUAUCGGCCGGUCGGCUUCCGGGGUACGGAGUCAUCACCAACAUCAUCAACGGCGGACUCGAGUGCGGUCACGGGCCCGACAGCCGCGUCGCGGAUCGGAUAGGGUUCUACAAGAGAUAUUGUGACAUUCUCGGAGUCAGCUAUGGGGAUAACUUGGACUGCUACAAUCAGAAGCCCUUUAAUUCGGGUAGUUAGCUAAUGAGGCUACUUGCAUGAUUAUAAUAAAUAAUCACCUGUUGGAGAAAAUUAUGUAAUGAAUAAGACUGUAAUGAAUAAGCCAUUUUUUGAUUUUCAGAUUAUAAUGAGAGUGAAAUUCUCAAAUUUUAUUUUAUUAUAAAUUCUAGACAGAAUUUAUAAAUUAUUAUCAUUUUUCGUUCGAAUUAUUUGAAUUGUUGUAAUCAAAUUCUAAGUCUAAUUUAGUUGGUUAAAUAUUGAUAAAUUUUUUAUCUAUAAUUUACCAAUAUUUAGUUAAUUACAUUUAAUCGUAAGACUUAAUUAUAACAAUUUAUAAUUGUUUUAAGAAAGAGAUAGUAUACUACUCGUUUCGUUUAUUUCUUUUAGAAAUAAACUUAGCUGAGAAUGUAAAGCAACUAAGUUUUGAAUUUGGGAUCUCGAAUACUAACCACCUAGUCUUUUGCCACUUGCAGUAGGAAUAAUUAAUAACAAUUCAUAAAUUAAAUUCAAACUAAAAAAUACAAUAAAUUAAAUUUUGAAAAAGUUCAAACUAAAAAAUACAACAAAUAAAUUUUGAAAAAGUUCAAACUAAAAAAUACAACAAAUUAAAUUUUGAAAAUCAACGUGGCAAGGGACUCAUAUAUUGAGGACAAAAGUGUGAUUUAUCCUGCUAUCAGAUAGGAAAGGCCAAUGUACUUUGCACAUACAUUCAAUGUAGAAGCAUUUAUUUUUUGAGAGAGAUAGAUAGCACGCUAUCCGUUUCGUUUAUUUCAUUUAAAAAUAAAUUUAGCUGGAAAUGUGAAUCAAUUAGGAUUCGAACUUGAGUCUCAUAUAUCAACCACUAAACCCUUUGCCACUUGCUCUUGAAACGGUCGGUACUGUAGAAGCAUUUAUAAAACUACUACCGGUAAUCCCUAACUUACUUUAAAGUUGAAUGCUAUCACAUGCCGAUACCUAGAAGGUACCAUCUAUAACUAUAUAUUAUUCCUCAAUAACUACACACGUGUUAAGAGGAGGCAGAGGCGCGGGUGAGGGCGCGGCGCGUGGGCGGCCGCGUGGGGAGCCGCGACUGGAGCGGGCGCAUUGAUGAAAUUAAUUGCGAGAAUCACAAAUAAUGAUUUCUCUUCUUAUUCACUAACUACUGGGGGCCUACAAUACCUGCUAAAAUUAUUUCACUAACUAAUGGGGGAGUACUAUGCCUAUUAAAUUUUUUUUUUUUUUUGAGAAAUAGAUAGCACGCUACCCGCUUCGCUUAUUUCAUUUAGAAAUAAACUUAGCUGAAAAUGUGAAUCAACUAGGAUUCGAACUUGGGUCUCGAGUAUCAACCACCAAGCCCUUUGCCAUUUGUUUUAGGGACGAUCGGUGCAUUAAAAUUUUUUGAUGUACUUAUUGCACCAUUUAAAUUCUGAAAUUGAUUUUUAUAACUAAUUUUUAAAAUUAAAUUUUAAAAUAACUACCCGCAGCAUCGCGCGGGUCGCUUAACUAGUAUAAUACCAUUCAUGAAGUGACAUUAUUAUUAUUAUACUCUAAAUAUCCAUUAUUAUUAUAUCUUAAACUCUAAAUCUUAAUCUCUCUAUAUGUAUUAGUGAACAUAUCAAUAAUAUUGGAGGGUAUUCCAACAUGAGAUACCCAAAGCAUUUCUCUUUAAAAUUAGUUUUCCAUACGGACCAAAACAAUUUUUGUUCUUAAAUGAUGAUUGAUCAAUAAAAGAGAUGAUACCUUCAAAAUUAAAUUGAAAUCAAAGCUUUAAAAUGUAUCUCCACAUACUGUAGCUUUGGAGAUCGUCUUCGCAAAUGGGAUAUGCUUCACACAAAAGACCUGAUUGGCAUGAAAAUAUGAAUUAAUCUGCUUUCUUGAUUUUGAAAAAGAAAUUAAUAGCUAGCGAAUAAAAAGGUGAAGAAUCAAAAUCAAUCUUAUUUAGUCCCCCUCUCAAUCCGCCGCUCGAUCGAUACUGUGUUUAAGAUUUGGACAAAAGUACUUUUGGAAUUGGAACGGAUAUUUAAAAUUCGAACACGGGAUGAAUAAUGCGGCUUGGUGUAUGUCUUACCAAAUUGUCUCAACAAAAACUUGUAUGAGGCCGAGGUGGGAUUAUCUUAUUCCAGCAAAGCAGAUCCCUUGAUGAUUUUUUUUUUUUUUUUUCGCUCUCUCGAGGUCCGGGUUGCCUCACCAUGUAGACUAGUUCAUACUUUUAAUGAAUGAAGCGGAUAGCGUAUUACUUUUUUUUUCAAAAAAAAAAAAACUUGUACGAGGCUCUCCUCAAUAAAAUGCACUUGAAUGCAAAAUGACAAAACACUAUUUUCUGCCUUAAUUCCAUUUCGGACCAAUUAUCAGUCCUAAUCCUUUCGCAUGUUUCUUUCUCAAGUUGGGUUCCGAAAUCACCCAGGUUAAAUUUUUUUUUUUUUUAAUAAAAAACAUGUCCAUGGGCCGCACACCAUUAUGUAAGCACUGCAAGAAUGUAUGAUAAAAAAAUAUUUUAUUUAUAAUUACGGUAUAAUUUUUGCUGUUAAAAUUUUAACCAGGAAAGGCUCCUUUUAUAAUUAGCGGAAGUAAAUGUUAUAUACGUACCAUGAGAAUGUACAAUGAAAAAGCGUUUAAUUUGUUUGUAAUUAUGAUAUAAUUUUUACAAUAAAAACACUAAAAGUUAAAAAAGUCUCAAUGAAAAAAAUAAUAAUGUUCAGGGUCUGUUGCAAAAUAAUGACCUAUCAUUGAGGAGUCUCUAUACAUAUUAUUUUUUCUUUUUGAGAGAGGAAGAUAGUAUGUUAUCUGUUUUACUUUUUUUUUUUUUAAUAUUAGUUGAUAAUAUAAAAUCCUCUGCUACUUAUGCUAAGAACUCGGUCAUACAUUUUAACUUUGAAAAUGACAUAAUAUCAAAAUACAAGUAGGCUAAGGGCAAGUUUGUUACAUUCGUGUUAGAAGAGUUCGGAGAUUAUUAAAUAUAAAAAUAUAUAAACAUUAUUUUCUAACAACUUAAAAUUUUAAAUUAUAAUGAUUAUUUCACAUGAUAUCAUAGCAUAAGGAUCCAGAAAAACAAGCAAGCCUAAACUAGAGAAGGCCUAACUUAAAUUUUUGUAAAAGAAAAGGGCAAAAAAAAAAAAGAAGGAAAAAUAGAAACAGAAAGGAAAUAGUAUAUAAUAUAGGGUUAAUUUCAUAUAGAUCCCUACAAAUAUAGUGAAUUAUAAAUAUAUUCUUACAAAAUUUAAAUUUUAUAUAUUAUCUCUACAAAAGGCGUAAUAUUUUUAAAUAUAUUCUUCUGGUUUGUUACCAUUAAAAUACGAUUUAUUUUAUAAGUGAAAUGACCUUUUUACCAUCACAAAUAUGUUCCUUUAAAAGUCCCAACUAUUAAUUAAAGAGGUGUAAAAUGGUCAAUUUACUUUAUUAACUAAAUAGGGUUAAGUAUUUUACCUAUAGCUAACUAAUUUUUUCUAACGGAUCCUAACGGCAGAAAUAUAUUUGAAAAUAUCAGAAUUUUUACCUAUGGCUAACUAAUUUUUUCUAACGGAUCCUAACGGCAGAGGUAUAUUUAAAAACAUCAGAAUUUUUAUAUAGACAACAUAUAAAAAUUAAACUUUAUAAAAUAUAUUUAUAAUUUACUAUAUUUAUAGGGAUCUGUAUGAAAUUAAUCCUAUAAUUGAGACAUUUGGGUCAGGGUCCUGGACCUGAACCCAAAUCCAAUGCGUUAGCCGGUAAAAUGAUGUUGACCCGAAUGUUUACGAAUGUGCGAUCCAUGUGGGUCAGAUCAAAUGGGUCCCAUCAAAUUGGCCAAUUUGAGAAUUGAGACUUCCAAAACUGUGGGAGGUUGAGCUCCCAAGUCUACAUUUUCCAUAACACAACUUUUACUAAAAAUUUAGGCUAAAUUACAGAAAACCCCCCUAUAAUAACUCACUUUUUCACUUCCCUCCUAACAUUUAAAAAUCUACACUUUGCCCCCAUGUAAAAUAAAAAAUAUGCACUUCACCCCCUACCGUUAGGGUUCCGUUAUAAAAUAAUUUUUUAUGCCAAAAAUACCCCUCCGCCAUUGCUGCUGCCGCCUCCCCGCCCCGCAUUAUGCUCCCGUGGCCGUAAUUCACGGUGCCGGAGGCGAGCACGUCGCUUCGCGCUGCGGGCCUCAGCGGCGCCGCACCGGGUUUCGCCGGGCCUCAACGGCGCCGCGCCGUGCCGUGCUCGUCGUGGAGGCCGCGGUGGGGAUGAUCGGGACGAAGCCCGUGCGGCGGUGCCCGGGUUUGGAAGCGGCGGCGCCCGGGUUUGGAAGUGGCGGCGCCGGCAGAGUUGUGAGCGGCCUUCCUGCUCGACCCGAAGAGAAACUCGCCGGAGUGAGUUUGGCGCCCCGCGAGGCCGGCGGAGGAGAGUGAGGAGAGAAGAUGGAGAAGAAGACGAUAAUGGCGAGGGACAAAAUGGUCAUUUUACACACUGUAACCUCCUUGUGAAUAUUUUUCAUUUUACAGAAGGGCAAAGUGUAGGUUUUUAAAUGUCAGGAGGGAAAAGUGAAAAAGCGGGUUAUUAUAGGAGGGUUUUCUAUAAUUUAACCUAAAAUUUAAGGAGAUGGAGAAUGAUACUUUAAGAUUUUAUUACGAUUACUGACCGUUCCUGGAGCAAGUGGCAAAUAGCUUGGUGGCUCGCACUCAAGAUCUAAGUUCGAAUCUUAGUUGAUUCACAUUUCCAGCUAAGUUUAUUUCUAAAUGAAAUAAACGAAGCGGGUAGCGUGCUACCUAUCUCAAAAAAUAUUUGAUUACGAUUUCAUUGACUGACUGUAUCUAGCAUAAUUAGCUAGCUAAGGGCUAGCUUGAUGAUUGGUAUUUGAGAUUCUAAACGUUAUUGCUUAUGUAAAUUUAUUUCUAAAAAAGUAAGCGACAUGAAAAUCGUACUAGAUUUUUCUCAAAAAAAUAUUAUUAUAAUUUUAGAAUGCAAAAAAUGGAAGCCUCCUUUAGCAUUAUUAUUAUUUGUUUUCUCUUAUUUGUUAUAUAAAAUUUGCGUUGGUAAAUUAAAUUUUUUAUUAUUAUUAACAUCCUUCCAAAAAAAUAGAGAACGGAAAAAAAAAAAAAAGAAAAAGAAAAAGAAAGCUGCUAAAUUUUUUUUCAUUGCCAAAUAAAUAAAUAGCGCCAGCAUUUCAUAAUUUAUUCUCACACUCCAUCGCGUGAAAUUUAUAUUAAAAAAGUUAAAACAAAAGGACAAUAAGAUCAACUGAGCCCUAAAUUGAGAUUAGGCUCUUAAGUUCAGCUAAUUAAAAGUUUACUUAAAAUCGAAUGCAUUACAGUAGAGUGGUUUAGCAAAAGCAAACUGUACAUAAAAACAAUGUAGUAAAAAUAAAUUUACGUAUACAAAUAGAUGCAUAAAUUGUUUUUUCUUUUUCUUUUUUUUCAUGAUCUCCACCACGAUGUGAUCCAAUAUUUAUGAUCCAAAAAUGAAUGGCUCCUUAUUAAUUCCUCUCGCUUAAAUUUCAAUUUCAAAAAUCUCAAAAAUUGAGCACACCACUAGCGUAGUAAGGAGACCACUGCUCCAUCCACGGGCUACGUAGCUGCGUCAGGAACGGAUCCUGCAUCCACUCCAACCCGCUAUACUUGGGAACCUCGAGCUCGGCGAGGCCGGUCGGUCGGACAAGUCGGUCGGCCGGUUGAGCGGCGGAUUCGAUCGUCGACGGCGUCGGUUCCGCCUCCACCUCUUCGCAGUAGUCGGCUGCUGCCCCCACCUCCUUCGUUUCGAACUCGAGGGGGCUCACGAUGUCGUCCACCGGCGGCGGCGUCCAUUUCUGGGAGCUCUCCUGAUCAGAGCACGAAACGGAGUCCAUCGCGGGCGAAGCGGAGAUCUGCGGGGCCUCCGGCGCCAUCGCCGCCCUCUGCUCCAGCUCCUUCAGCGACGUCGCCUUCCGGUAUAUCUUGCACAGCACUAUGUCUUCCUGCAUGCAUCAAUCACCUCUUUUCAGUGAAAAGAUAGACAAAAAACAAAAAAGCAAACUGCGCAGAAUUAGUCCCAAUCGAAUUCAUGACCUCUCGGUGUGAAGAGGCUCAGGAUUGAUCAGAAACCUUUCUACCAAAUGAGUCUUUUUUAGGUGCAUCUUUUGCUAUCAAAUUUCACUCUUACAUGAAUUUUAAAGCGUCCUAAAAUACAAUUCAGCGGCAGAAGAGAGAGAGAGACAUAUCUCAAAAGACCAAUCUGAUAAUUAUUUUUCUUUUUUUUCCUCCAAAGUGAUUUUUGGCUCUCCGAAGUGACUCUGAUAUUAUAUAAACUAUAAGAUCGGAGUGUUGAUACCAUUAUGCAUGAAUCUUAAAGUUUUUUUGAUUUUUACUCUCCAAAGUGGCUCAGAUAUUGCAUUACUCAAAAAAAAAUUAUUUUCUAUGAAAGGAUCGAUAAACCCUAGCCCAGAAUAUAUUAAUCCAAAUUAUUAGCACUAAAACCGCAGCUAUAAAUAUGUAAGGCUCUCGUCUUAUUACGUGAUAUGGGAUUAUUGGGAUGUUACAGAAUAAUUACUUGGGGAGGGGCUGCUGCAGAAGCGGCAGCGCCAUUAGCGUCGGGGAGGCGGUACUCGUUCAUGACCCAGUCGGUCUUGGUGCCGCGGGGCGCGCGGCCCUGGUAGUAGACGAGGGUCUUCUUGAGGCCGAUGAGGCGCUUGGGGUCGGCGGCGCUGCGGAUGGGCCGGUCAGAGCCGGUGGCCUUCCAGAAGCCCCGCUCCGUCGUCCGGCUCGGCCGCCCCCCGUUCGCCUGCCGCCGGUCCCUCGGCACGUAGAAGUACCACUCUCUCUCGCCUAUCUUUGCUAGACCUGCACAAAAUCUCUACAUUAUAACAAACUUCACGAUAUAAUUAAUAACAAAAUUAAUAUUUUCCUUUAAUAAUAUUUAACUUUAAAUAUUAUCUUCGGUCUUACCGUUUCGACCAAAAAACAACAACAACAACAACAACAACAAAACUUAAGUUGUAUCACUUAUUUUAGAAUUUUGCAUUGAUCAUUCCAAAAUGUACACUUUGAAGUUACGUGAAUACAAUUUAAGUUUUCGGAGAACAAUGAUUUUGAAGUUACAUGAAUACAAUUUAAGUUUUUGGAGAACAAUAAUUAUUCGAACAAGAGAUUUGGAGCGGGAAAAGGAGUUACUUGGGAGGUCCCAGGGGUUGUAGCGGUAGAGAUGGACGGUGGCGAUGACGUCGAAGUGGAGCUUCUUCCCGUUGACGGCGCGGCGGAGGUAGAAGUCGAGGAGCUCCUCCUCCGUCGGAUGGAACCUGAAUCCCGGGAGCUCCACUUCCGCUGUUCCACUACUCCGCUGCAUCUCCAUUUCAGUUACUUUUUUCCUUUUGGGUGUAAGUUACCUCUUCUUGUUUCUCCUUCUUGUAUGUUGUAGCUGUAGUUAUUUAUACUCUUUUUUUCUUAAUCUCGUAUAGUCGUUGUUCACACUUCUCUCCUGGGGCUAUGCUGGUUCAGGAGGGAGGUAAAUGAGAGGUGGAUUAUAUAGAGGAGAAAUCGUGGGGCCCACCAGAGCUUCCCAAUUCCAUUUUGAUCGGGGACUAUUUUUCCUGCACCUGAUCGAUGUGUCAAUAUAUUUCAUGCACCAUGACUCUUAAGAGCCGUUUGGUUCAAAAUUUAUAAUAUUUCUAAAAUUUCUAAAAUAUUAUACAUUUUAUACUUGAUAUGACAAGUAUUUUACUAAUUUACCAAGUCAUUUGAACCGAGAGAUUGCUAAUAACAAAUAUAUAAUAAUGAUUCUUACCAAGCAUAAAAAUAAAAACAACUUAUAAUUCAUAAUAAUCUCAUAUUUCUACUAUCUAAAAAUCUACAAUAAUUUUAUUACUUCACUAUUACAUUUUAUAACAAUCCAACAUGGAUUGAAUUGUGUAACGAUUUGAAUAUAUUCAGUGAAAAAUAUGAGUAUGUGUCAAAAUAUUAAAAAAUGUGAACCAAAUUAGCUAUAAGUUACUUUAAUAAAAAAAAUCUUUGCAUUAAAAAUUAAUCCUGUUUGAUAUUAUUGUGCCAAAAAAAAAAAGCAAAAGUAUAUAAAGAUAUGUUUUUUUAUUUUUUUUACUUGGUGGAAUAGUAAAAAUUAUAAUGUUUGUGAUAUUUGCAAUAUAUGUAUCUUUGACAAAAAUAAACGAAUUAUUUUUCGUCCAUUACACUUUCACACUAUAGAUAACGCAUCUUCUCCAAAAUAUUAUAAUCUUUUAUAAGAAAUAUUUUUUCCACAAUUAAAAUUUUAAAUUAAAAUUAUGUAAAAUAAACGUUUGUAAAGAAAGCUAUAAAGUCUCGUAGGACUCGAACUCACAUUGAUUUCCUAAUCUAACAUCAUAUUAAAUUAGAUGAAACGAAAUAUUUUAAUAUUCAUGAUAAAAGAUAUUUACACCAAUAUUAAGUAUGGUACAUGAGAUGUGCGGAUACACCCGGUGCAGGCAUAAUUUCUCCUAGCGAUCAGGUUGAUAUUUUUUUUUUAUUUAAUUUAUAUUAUAUAUUUUUUCGAGUAAAGUGAUCAGGAGGACUUGAACUUUUACCAAACGAGAAAAAGACAUGUAAUUAAAGGAGACGCGUCAUUGAAUUGAUUAGCACUAAUUAAUCAGGGGUUUGUUACAAGGUGGUUUCCUUAAACUUAGUUUAAUAUGCCACGUCGCAUUAUUAUGUUUACCUCUUCAUACGUAAUCAUUUGCAAGUGUAAAUGUGAGGUAAUUAAUUAUUUUUCUAUAGGAAUAUUAAUAAUUAAGAUUAGAUAUAUCAUUAGAUAAAAUAUUAAUUAGGAGAGCCAUAUCAUCAAAUGGAUAGGAUUGCCGUUGCUCUCGAAGAAACACGGGUGGAAUCAUCUUAUAAAUUAAUUUUUUAACUGUAAUAAAUUAAUUAACUUGUUAAGUAACUAACCAUUUUUGACCCACAUAAUUAAGAGAUUAUUAAUAAUUGAGUUUUCUAGAAUUGUAGGACUCUUACACUCACCAGUCAUUGGUCUUUUAAGAAAUUUGUUAACCACAAACACUCAAUCCUUGAAUUACAAUUUUUUUUUUCAUUUCUUUUAUUAAUUGUGUUAAUCUAUGUUUAGUUAUGUGGACUUUUAAUCAAGGGGGUGUUUCAUUCCCAGGAAAAUAUUUCUGAAAAUAACUUUUGGUUUAAAAAACUGACCGUCCCUAACGCAAGUGACAAAGGAUUUGGUGGCUGGUAUCCGAGACCCAAGUUCGAAUCCUAAUUGAUUCACAUUUUCAAUUAAGUUUAUUUCUAAAUGAAAUAAACGAAGUAGAUAGCAUUCUACCUUUCUCUCUAAAAAAAAAAGAGCUUUUGGUUUGGAAAAGUAUUUUUCAUCUAUUUCGUUCUGAUCAGAACAUGUAGUCUCCCUGAAAAAAAAAAAUCUAAAAUCUGUAGAAAAGUGUUGUAAACGAAUUUUUUUUCUCAUGAAAACUACUUUUCUAGAAAAUAAUUGUUCUGUUCACAAUUUUCCGAGGAAUCAAACACCCCCUAAGCAUUAAAUAAAAAAAGAAGGUUAUGUCUUUUCUAAGAACCUCGAGUGAUAUUUCUAAUCAAAUUGUGGGAUUUUGAUCAUCUUCUAUAGUUUCUAGCUAGAUUCUUUAAUCGAUUGUCUCAUAUAUAUUUGAUUCCUAUUGUUGUUAAAUUUUACUUAUUUUGUCUAUUUACUUUCCUAAUUGUCGGGUAAAAAAAGGCUAUAAGUUACCCAAAUAAAUAAUUGUAGAGAAAGUUAAAAUAUAGCUAAAAAUUCUCUAUAAUUAGGAGAAAUAUUGUUUUGUAAUACUACAAUCCCAGAUUGGUAAAUUCAAUUAUAAUCGUGUGAGUAACGAAGAAUUUUAUGAAGAAUAAUUUUGAUAUUUUGAAAUAUGAUAAACUUAAUUGAAGUAAUAAAGUAAUUAAGUCAACUAUUUAACACGUAAUCUUUCAAUUAAGUCUCGUUUGUUGUCCAUUUUAAUUUUAUUAACACCAUUUUCCUGUAGUAGGAUGGUAAAAGAUAGCUAGCUAUGUUAAACUCAUUGAAAGUUGAAACUAGUGUGAGAAAAUGCUAAAUGGUGAUGUUGACUUUGACCUAAAAGAGAUUGCUUGGAAUAAAGAGAGAAUAAGAGGAAUAAGACCGUUGAAUAAAACAAUUGGUGGGACCAGAUAAUACGAAGGAGAUAUUCACCACUUAUUAUUCUCCAUUUACUGAGUCAAUAUAUAUAUAUGUAGUGUUCUCCUGCAUUGUUCCAAAAUUAGGGUGCUGUUUUUUUUUUGGCCAUAUAUGUGUUUGUUGAACAAGUCAUGUUCACCUAAAUAUUCCUGUGCUAGAUGUGUUGAAGUGUUCCAACAUGAUGUUUUCUUGUGAGGAUAUGAUAUCAGAUCGUGCUGGUUUUAAUCAGUGUGAAUACCUUAAGGUUUCAUUUGGUUCGGGUAUAAGCAAGAACUAGUUAUACCAGGGAUAGGUACAAGGAUGAAUUUUUAUAAGAACAAUGGUAUUUUUUUGUUUGUAUGAAAAUAUGAGUAUAAGCUGGAACUAGAAAAAUUACGUUUGGAUGGUUAUUGGGAAUAAGAGGAAUAGUUAUUAGUUAUAAAUAGAAAAUAAUGAUAUUAUCCCUAUAAUUGAAUUUUAAUUUUUAAAUUUUAAACUUAUAAAUUUAAAUUGAAAAUUAAAAAUUGUAACUUUUAAAUUUUAAAAUUUGAGAUUAAAAUUUAAAAUUAUAAUUUUAAAUAUCAAAUUUUAAAUUUAAGACCAAAUUUAAAUUUCAAAGAUAUAAAAUAGCAAAUUAAAAUUUCAAAACUAAAAAUAUCAAAUUUAAAAUUUAAACUUUAAAAUUUUAAAUUAUAAAUUUAAAUUAUAAAUUUUUAAAUUUAAAUUUAAAAUAAAAAUAUCUCUCUCUCUCUACCCAGGGGUGGGAACAACUUAUUCCCACCCCUUGUUCCAUACCUGAGUGGGAACAAGUUGUUCCCACCCCCCAAAUCUUUGUUUGGGUAUAAAGGGGGGAUAACCCUCUUAUCUCCCUCUUUAUACCCGAGCCAAACACCACUUAAGAAGUCCGAAAUUGACAUGAUAUGAUAUGAUACAAAAUAAAAAGUAAAUUACUUUGAAUAUUUUAGGUCGUAUUGUAAAUAUUUUAGACAAUAUCCAGAGUAAUUCAACUAAUACGAUUAUCAAACAUGAACACAAGUUCAUGAACUUGAAUUGCUUAGGUCGUAUUGUAAAUAUUUUUGCUUAUCGGAUUUUUCUUCUUUUUGUUGUCAAUAUCAGUUCACGUGAAAUAGUUUACAUUAUAUAUAUUCGCCGUGCAGGAAUAUGUAUAUAAGGUUAUGUCUUAACAACUGCUUAUCAAAUCGAUUUGCUGGGUAACAUUUAGUUAAAAAUCCGGUUUCUUAGAUGAGUACAAUGAGAUGGAGAAAAGGAUGAGAUCAUGAAUAGGACUCAGCCCAAUUGCCAGGUCUAGAUGAAGGCCAUGGCCUAAUAAAAAAAAAGAAAUUGUUGCCUAGACCUCCUCCAUUUCAUACAUUUUUUAAUCUUCAUAGCUUUAUAAGUAAAUAACAUCAAAAUUAGUAAACUUUACUAAGUGAUGAAGAUUUUAAUAACUGCAGGAAUGAAAGAUAAAUUGGCUGGGAGGUCUAAAAUGAUACAGUGGACCAGUGUGACAAUAAAUUUGAGUCAAGGUCAAUCCUACAUAAGAGAGAAAGAUUAGAAAGUUCUAAAAAGAAAAAAAAAAAAAAAUCAAACUGAAUUGAGUCAUGCAUAGCUGUGGCUGUUUAAUUCCGCUAAUACGAAUAAGGAAUCUGGACUUUUUUUUCGCUACCUGAGAAGAUGUGGUGGUCACACAUCUGCUGCCUAAAUGAUGACCCCAACCUAGGAACUGCAGGAAUUCAAAUUAACACACUUGCCAUAAUUUCGUAUGCUAUUUUUAUGAUCGAACCUCGAACCUGAAGGACGAUAAUUUGCGAGUAAUAGUGACCGACUGAAGAAAGUGGUUGUUCAUAAUCUCUGACCGUAGAAUGAUUCGGCUCCAUUAACUGUAGUCGUAGCAGUCAAACGUGCACACUUUGAUGUUCUGGAGGAUUCGAAAAAUUUGUAAGUGCUUAAAAGCUAGGAUUAUAAAUGACAGUGAAACUAUCGAUUACUUUCAAAGCUUAGGUUUCUCUAGAAUGAUAUUUUUUUCUUAAACUUUAAUUAUAUCUUCAGUAAUUCUUUUAUGACCGGACUCAAGACCUAUUGAUAAGUCCAAAGUGAGAAAAAACUUCGCCACUACCAAAUAGAGGAUGCGAAUUAAUGUGAGCCAUCAUAUCGUAGUUAAUUUGCUUUCAAAUUAAACGACAGAAAAUUAAACAAAGUUAGGAGUCUUGGGGAAAUUCGAAUUUAGGAUCUUCUACACUGAUUUUGGCGAAUAGUGCUUUUUUGAUAAUAAUGGUAGGAGCAGCAAAUAUGAAAGACCGAUGCUCCUCCGGUGACAAUUCAAACCACCAUUUUAUUGCAUCUAAAGAAGAAGAAUUUUGAAUAUUCCAUACUUUCUAAGCUACUAAAUCUGGUUGGACUUUGAUCACCAUGCUUUCAAACUUAAGCCCAAAAAAAGAGUUUGUUUCAUGAGUAACUUCUUUUGAUCAGUUGUCCAAGUCUUUGGCUAUUUCUACCAACUCAUAACAAUGUCUGUGCUUUCUUUGUUUGUUUGGCCAAUGGCCAGUACUGGAUUUGUCUCCGUUGCCGAAUUUCUAAGCUGCAGACCUUGACUGGUGGAGUCAGCCUCAAGAUGCUGGACCAUACUGAAGUCUUCCCACUAGAACAAUAAGCAAGUCCUUAUAGUGGAAGACAAAACUACUUGGACUUCAACAGUUACCAGAUGAUCAUAGCUUGUGUGUCGCAGAAUCUAUUAUUAUUACUUUUCUCUCUCUCUCAAAAAAAAAAAAGAUUACGUAAAUUAUACGAUUGCAGAUAUAUUUUCAUGCUACUUCUAUAUGCCGAGAGAGAGUUAUGAAUGCGAUCGAAAACUAAGCUGUUAGAUCUGAAUCCAUAUUUAGACAAUCUACAAAUUGUCGAGAGCACGAAUACGACCCGCCAAUUCGAGUUGCCAAUCUAGUCCUUGAGACAUCGCAGGUCAUUAAACCCUUGGCUCACAGUGUUUGGUUAGUUAAUUCUUUGUGGACUGGGUUAAGUGGAACCUCCCAUCAGCAACGGGCCAGAGUUGCGCAAUUUUGAGCUCAUCUUUUUAUACAUGCAAGCAGGAAGUGGGGACCCAUUGCUUCUGGAAGCCACCUUAAUAAAGACUUUGGCUUCUCUAGCUGUUGUCAGCAGAGAGUCUGUCCAUUUCGGGAGGAAUUCUACACUGUCACACUUACACCACGUCAUCAAUAACAAACCAAUCAUAUUUUUUCUUUUCAAACAAAAGUACAAUAAAAUUAUUUUUUUAUAAUCAUGAUGGGUAGGGAUGCAAACGGAUCCGGGUUGGCGGAGCUCCCGCCCCGAUCCGUCCCGACGAGAGCAAUAAAUGGGAGAAAAUUAAUAAACGGAUUCGGGGCAGAAAACAAGGUAAAUUUAACAAUCCCAGAAUGAUUCGGGGCAAGAAACGGGAGAAAUUUUGACCCGCCCCGAAUCCGCUCCGAAAAUUAUUUAUAUUUUAAUGCCUAAAAAAAUAAUGUAUUUACAAAAAAAUUUAAAAUAAAAAUAAGUUAGUACUCGCAUUUCUAAUGUAUUUGAAAUUUUUGAAUUUUAUUUUGAAUUGUAAUUGAUAGUUUUGAUUUUUAUAAUUAAUAUUAUUAAAUUAUAUAUAUAAUAUUAUUAAAAAUUAUUAUUUUAUAUUUUACAAAAUAUUAAUAACAUUAUAAUUUUAUAAAAAAUAUUAGUUGGCGGGGCGGAUUUGGGGAGGCAGGUUAAGAAGCGAGGUGGAUUAUGGGAUGUAUGUUUUAACCCGUCACGGAUUUGGAGCGGGAGGAGGGGCAGGGCUCCCCCUCCAGAUCCGCCUCAUUUGCAUCCCUAAUGAUGGGACAUGUAUAUAUCUAAACGGAGAGAUUUGAUUAAUUUGUUACGCUAUGUCACCAAUAUACCCGGUGUAUUCUAGAUUUUUUUCCAUUUCGGCCUUGGGAAGUAUUUAGCAAUAAAAAAUAUUUGCGACUGACUUUUGCUAUGUUAGAAAGCAAGGACAUAAUUUUGAAGCUUAAAAGCAAAAAUAAAGCUUCCGAUAAUACUUCUCAAAUUUUAUAAAAAAAAAUUUUAAGAUGAAUGUAUGUAUAUCUUACACCUCUUUUAGAAUAUAUUGGUAGCAUUGCUUAAAUGCAAAAGCAAAAAUAUAACUCGCACUUUUGGCCUUGAAACUAUAAAAUGGUGAUAUUUCAGCUCUCAAACUUUAUUUUAUUAUAAUUUCUGACACGAACAUCUAAAAUUAUUGCAAUUAAGUCUCUUAGACUAAUUUAGUUGGUUAGAUGCUGAUAUGCUGAUGUGAUAUCUUAAUUACUGCUACACCAUUAAUUACAAAAUUGAUAUAUUAUCGCAACAUCAGCAACAAAUCAACAUUUAGUUAAUUAAAUUGGCCUAUAAGGCUUAAAUGUAAUAGUCUAGAAAGUUUGAGCUAGAUGUUAUAAUAAAUUAAGGCUUGAGAGCCAAUCUGUAAUACUGGUCACAGUUUGAGGACCAGAAGUGAAAUUUAACCUAAGCAAAACUAGACACAAACAUACAUUAAUGUCCCGACGGGGCCGGUAGGGUCCGGUCCGGUCCGGUCCUUGCCUAACUUUUUUAGUUUCAGGCCCGGCCAAUUUAGAGCGGAGCCUAAGCGAGAUCAGCCCAUGUAAGGCCUAGUUGUGAAUUCAAGCCCAUUAUCUGAAUUCAAGCCUAUUAACAACCGAGCCCUUUUAUGAAUUCUAAAACCCUACUCAGUCUCGCCUCUCUCCAUUUCCAGCAAGUAUUCGAGGAAGGAGAAGAAGAAGAAGAAGAAGAAGAAGAAACUGAAACCCUAAUACAAAGAAUCGCCCCGCCAUGGGGAAGCUCCCUCCUUCCAUGCGCUCCGCCAAAGUCCCCCUCGCCCUCCUCAAACCCUCCCCUUCUUCUUCAUUUCCUUCUCCUUCUACUUCUCCUGCUCCUCCGCACUCCAAACCCUACCCCUUCUUCGCCUCCAAAACCCUCACCAAGCCCAAGAGCAAGAAGGAGAAGAAGAAGCAAACCCUAACCCUAACCCCAACCCGGAGGGGGAGAGCGCGCCUUGGGUGGAGGUACACCUCUUCCGGCGAGGGAGAGGCCCCGUCGGCUUCUUCCUCCACCUCUCCCCCUCCUUCUCCCCCGACCGCUCCACCUUCCUCCUCCUCCUCUCCCACUCCGCCGCCGCCGCUGAAGACGACAACGCAGACGACGCCGCGCUGAGCCACGUCGUGCGCGUCCUCGACCUCAUGGCGGGCGCCGGGCACGCGCCGGACGNCCGCCGCCGUCGACCUCGCCGUGCGCGCGCUCUGCUCCGCCGGCCGCCUCGACGACGCCUGCGGCCUCGUCCGCCACGCGGCGCUCCGUACCGAUCCCCGCCCCGCCCCGCCCGACGCCUACACGUACAACUUCCUCGUCCGCCGCCUCGCCCGCUCCCGCCCCGUCUCCGCUGUCUACGCAUUCAUCGAGGAGCUCCGCCGCGACGCGGGGCUUCGCCCCGACCUCGUCACUUAUACCAUCCUCAUUGAUGCGGUGUGCCGCAGCGGCAACCUCCGAGAGGCGGUGAGGCUCCUCGGAGUCCUCACGGACGCUGGGUUCAAGCCCGAUUGCUACCUUUACAACACUAUCAUGAAGGGGUAUUGCAUGAUGGAUGAGUGCGGCGGCGUGAUGGAGGUGUAUAACCGGAUGCGGGACGAGGGCGUGGAGCCCGACCUGGUAAUGCAAAAAAAAGCUCCUUUUCCUCAAAUACUUAAAGCUGUUCUAUUCAUGAUGGUCCAAUAUGUGAGUUUAAAAUAAGCUGUAGAAAAUUAAAUGGCCUCCACCUGGUCCGAUACCAUGUAAACCAUACGAAUUUAUCAAAAAGUUGAAGCUGCUAGAGAACCUUGUUUGUAAUUAAUCGGUUAUACUCGACAGGUAACGUAUAAUACUCUUGUGUAUGGGCUUUCCAAGGCUGGGAUGAUCAGCCAGGCGAGGAAGUUCUUGAGCGUGAUGGCCGAGAUGGGGCAUUUCCCCGACACGAUCACGUACACAGCACUGAUGAGCGGGAUGUGCAGGAAGGGUGAUGCAUCGGGGGCGUUAGGGUUGCUGGGGGAGAUGGAGCAGAAGGGGUGCGAGCCGAACGAGUGCACGUAUAAUACGUUGCUGAUGGGGCUGUGCAAGGCCAAGUGUUUGGAUAAAGCGGUGGAGCUGUAUGGGAUGAUGACAGCUGGCGGUAUGAAAGUGGAUUCGCCGGCUUAUGCGACAUUUCUGAGGGCGCUCUGUCGGGCGAACAGGGUCGCUGAGGCUUAUGAGGUGUUUGAUUAUGCAGUGGGCAGCAAGAGCUUGAUGGACGUGGCUGCUUAUAUGGCUUUGGAGAACUCGCUCAAAUGGCUGAGAAAGGGAAGAGUAUAAUCAAUUCGUUGGUAAGUUUGGCAUUUAUAAACCCCCGGAUUUAUGUUGAAAUUUACUUUUUGCUAGUAUUUCAUGAGAAAUGAAAGUAUGAAGUUGAGCCUAGAUGCUAUGUAGAUGAGAGAAAGCGAAAAGUUCUGCAUAAGUAUAUUACCUGUCGCUGAAAUUCUUGCAGGUUACAAAAAUUUAGUGGAAAUUAAGAUAAAAUAAGUGAACACGGAGAUAGGCAAAGAGAUCCCUAGCUUGGGGGGUAAAAAGGAAAUAUAUAUUUGCUUUUGAAACUUCAAUGCGAGAUUGCAUGCGUGAGAUUGCAUGUGCGAGUAAGUGAUUGUUUACUCUCUGUUGAUUGCCACUCUUAAGGUUGCUAAAAUGAACUCUGGUGGAGGGCGGCCACCAUUUAUAUCAGUAGUUCAUCAAUUGUUAUUUUAUUGAUUUAGAAAUAUUCAAAUCAAAAUAUUCCGUCAGAUCUCUCAUGAAGUAACAUUAGAAUAACUGGUGAGCUUACUUGAGGAAUAAUUGCCUUUCCUAUUUUUACUAUUUAUCUCUGCUUGAGGAAUAAUUGCCUUUCCUAUUUUUACUAUUUAUCUCUGCUGUCUUUUCCAUUGACUAAUUGAAAAGCUUGAUUCGAAAUUGAUGGUAAGUUUCGUUUGUAGUCAAUGGAUAAUUUGUUGGGAUUAUAACUCUGAAAAAGAAAGAUCUCCAUUAUUUUCUUUCAACUCGGGAGAAAUAAUAACUAAUUCAAACAACUGCUUCAAAUACCGUAUUGGGACGGAAGCAAGUACGUAGAAAGGAUGUUGAAGAUGUACUAAAUCAUCUAAAAUCCAGCUCAAGAAUUGUUAAAAUAACAAGGUGUUUUUCUGCAUGCUUUUCUCAAAUGAAGGUGUUCUGUGCAAUGUAAAUCUUAUUUAGCUUAUCCAGUUUCUGUCUGUAAAGGAUUCUGAUUGUCAGGGCCUCUUCUGGAUUUUUAUUGCAUCUUUGUAUUGCAAAAUUUAUGCAUUGAGGGCUUUUUCCGAAAAUCAACAGCAUGUAUAUUCUUAUAAUGCCGAAAUUUCUUUCAUUCAUUCCCUUCUUUGAGAUGUGAAAGUAUAAUUGUCGACAUGGUUAUAUGAAGAAAGAGGCCUCAUGCAGCUCAUGCUCUGACUUGAUUAGUUUGUGGUGUAAAGCAUUUUAUGUUGAAGGCGGACAAUUUUUGUGUCUGAAAUCAGGCUGUAUUUAGAUUCGGCUUAUAUUAUGACUUAACUGCUUUAAUCGUUGAGAUAAUAUUUUGAAAGAUGUAAAUGUGAUAUUCUUUUUUCCUUUUUCUGUGGUAGUCGAAUGUCAAGGUGGAGGUGUGAAGCAAGCCUAAAGGCGGGCAGAAUCAUUUUCAUGCAUAGUCAGCAAACUGGUAAUGAGCUAUUACUGGAGGUAUUUUUUUUUUAAAUUUCGGGAAGAGAGCUUAUUUAUGGUGUUCUUUACUGAAUAGCUUCUUAGUUAUCAGGUAUUCUGUGCACAAACAUGUGUUUAAUUGUAACAGCAGGUUAUUAAUGGAUUAUGGCCAUGGUCAUGUUCCCCGCAUGUAAUCGAGCAGUUUCUGGGGCAGCUACACAUAUUAGCAGCCUCAACAUGCUCCCACCAAUUGAACCUUCAAAAAUAAUGGCAAAACUAAUGGCAAAGUCACUGAUAGCAGCCUCAACAUGCUCUUUCUUACCAAUUGAACCUUCAAAAGUAAAGGCAAACUUUGUACUGAAGUUGAGCAGCUGAAUAUUUGUUGAUUUGUUAAAGCGAACAAUUCUUUGUAAGAACAAGUGAAUUAUUCUGCCAAACAAGAAAAAAUAUAUCUUCUGCUGUUCCUGUAAGAAUACUAAUGUUUGUAUUUGUAACCUACACUAAUGUUUUAUUUUCAAGUUCUUUUUUCUCUUUGUUCGUAAACUACACUAAUGUUCUAUUUGUAACCAAAGUGAGGAUGCAAGGAUGCACAUUCGUAUAUGUAUACAUGUAUGUAUUAAUUAAUAAUGACAUAUGUAUGCAUGUUGAUAUGUAUAUGGUUAUGUAUAUGCGAACAUUUAUUUUGAAGUUUUGAGCGGUUGGUUUGAAAUUGCCCCAAAUAUGUAAUCUAAGCUAUCUCUUGAAAUAGUGAGCCAAUCCAAAAAAAGAAAAAAAAAACUUCUUAAAUUAGUUAAACUAAUAUUUAAUACUUUUCUUUAUAUUUUAAUUUAGUAGUCAAAAGUUUGUACAUCGCAAAGUUACUGGCUAAUUUCUCUUUAUUUGGGUCUUUUGGGUGGAAAUAAAACUAGUUGAGUAUUUGUUGUUAUUAACUAGUUGGGUAAAAUAAAACUUUGGUGAUGAUUAUAAUCUAAGUGAGACAUCAACUCAAGGAAGAAAUCAAGAUGUGAUCCAUUGCAAGUUUCAACACCAAGCACCCAAUAGCAUUUUAAAGAGCUCGAGAUCUCAGCCUUGGAUAAUUGUUUAUUUAUUAUAAUACUCUCACCAAACCAUAAUUAUCUAGGGUGAAUUAUAAUGUCUCUGCUCUCAAUGCACUACUAACUUGUGAGACCCCCGUGUGGUGGAUCUUGUUACCUAUAAUAGUAGCAUGACAACCUUUAAAACACUUCAUCUCUUUGUACUAUUGAGUUGUUAAAUAUGAAACAUGUUUGCAGCAAUGGAUGCAAGAACCAUGCAAAAGAAGAUUUAAAUGGGUGUCACAUGGGAGAUUUGUUUGAUGAUGUUCUUGGUGCCUCCUCAUCCAACUACAUUAUGGUUUUGGUUUAUAAGCAAAGGGGGAGUUGAAUGAUCAAUCUUAUCACUCUCACAAGAAGAAGUCCUUGAUAACUUAGGAGCAAAAAUGGCUUGUCAUUUUCGAUCCAUAAGUAUGCCUACGAAACGCUCCGCCGUGCUGAAGUUUGAAGAAGUGCCGCAGAAGCUAAGAGCUUCUGUGGAUUCUUCCUCCUCAACCGCGCAGAUGAUGUUAGAUAGGGUGAGAGGGAUCGGAUAUUUGUAUGAAUGCAUCGAGGAGCUUCUUUCUUUGCCGAGCAACCAAAAUGGUCUAUCGCACCCGCAACAAUGGAAAUGGGUGGAAGGAGAACUGGAAGAGUCUGUUGCAUUGCUCGACACCUGCAGUGCAAUGCGGGAGAACUUGGCUGCAAUGAAAGCGCACAUUCAGGAACUCAAAUUCACGAUUCGAAAAGGGAAAAAUGCAGCCAUUGAAAGCAAAAUGCAAGGUUACAUUCGAUUGGUGAAAAAGGCAAAUAAGGAUAUCAAAAAGCAGAUGCUUAACCAGUGUGGGGCUAUUUCUCACAUGAAAAAGCAUCAAGAUCUAUCAAACACAAUCAGGCUAUUGAUCGAAGCGAGAGAGGUCGCUGUCUCUUUCCUCCAAACUGCUAUGUCAUUCUUGUCAAAAGAAAUGGUCAAGCCCAAGACUAGCAAGUGGCCUCUUCUCUCGAAGACAUUUCAAAAGAGGAAAGUAGCAUGCGAUGAGGAGCGAGAGGAUGAAACCUUAUUCUUUGCUUCUUUUUCUAGCAAGGAUUUCAAUGAACAGAAUGCUCUGACGGCGCAAAACCAAUUGCAGACAUUAGAGGCCAUCAUUGAAGGUCUAGAGGUUGGACUAGAAUGCCUAUUUAGACAACUGAUCCAUUGCAGGGUUUCGCUUCUUAAUAUUUGUAGCUUAUGAAAGAUUUCUUCAUACCUUGAUCCUCUAGCACUUAUUAAUUGGCAUCCGCAUUUUAGAGGAUUCGCUGAUUGGAAAUCUUUCGUCCUUGUACACAAGUAUACAACUCAAAUGAUGUAUAGCAUGCAGUUGCAAAUUGAGAUUGCGUGUCUAGUCCUUUUUGAUCACAAGAUCUAUGCUUUUGCUAAGUUUUUAGUUCUCGUCUUUUGCUUGUACUGGUUUUGAACGACUUUGUUGCUUCCACAGAAGAUUUGCAUGAUGUGUAAAUUAGUUUCAGCUACUCAGAACAUUUACACACAUCUGGGUGGAAAAGGACAUAAUUAUGAAUAUUGAUUAAUAAGGCUUAGUGUAUCUGGAUGAAUGUUUUCAGAGUAAUUUCUUAUGCAUCAGUCAAUACUCGCAAAAAUUUGACUUGAAGAUCGAUAAGCAGGUAAGAUUGUUAGCGCUUAGUACUCUCUGAUCCUCAACUAAGAUUUCUUUUUUCUGAUUGUUUGGUUCUUCCUGUACUAACUACUAACCAACUAGUACUGAAAAUCAGAAAUAAAAUUUCUCUACAUCUGUUGAUGCUCCUGGCACAUGAAAAGUGAUGACAAAAGAAUGACGCAUCAUUCACCAUUUCUUCAAAUGCUUUUCUACUUAGCAACCAUCAAAUGAGAUUGAAUGUAGAGUAAAAGAGACAAUUUCAAUUUAUGAUCUAGCGGCGAUUGUUUUUGUUUCGUUUGCUUUGUUGUUACCCAAAUAGGGUUUAUCCCUGUUUACUCAAAAAAAAAAAAAAAAUUAUGAUCUAGCUGUCAAGCUACUCUAUGCUGGGAAUUUGCCAAGUGUUUAAGGUAGAGCGGAAAGGAAAAAUUUAAACUUAGCAACUUAAGAACCGAAAAAUGAUUACAGUUUGUUGGGAACAAUACACCCUUCUAUGUGUUCUUUGGAGAGCUUUAAAGAUCCAACUCUUCUUUACACUCAACGAGUUGCUUCACUUGCUAUGAUCUGUAUAUGAAACUGCCACAAUUUGUCUUACAGGUUUGUCGAAAUGAGUGCCUCAGGUAAGCAAGAGAGAAAUAUGUAAACUUUGUAAAUAAGCAAGCAGACAGAUAUCAGUGAGUGAAACAACCUUCAGUCUCAUUAUGUAACCAUUUAAGACAUCUAAUGGUUGUUAAAAGACAAUAAAUUUAGAUAAAUGUCUUUGUAUUGUCGAAUCAGAUAUACAAUUUGUUGGAUGUUUUGUACAUGAUGCUAUAUAGACUCUAUACAAUAAAAAAUGUUGAAAUUGAUAAACCGAUCCUCUGCUAAUGGAUCGUUAUCAUGAGGGUUAGGGAUCGGAGGUUGAGAAUUUAUGAGCUGAGGAUAUUUAGAAGCGAAACUCUGCUCUGGAUCAGUCGCCUGAACAAGCUUUCUAGUCCGUUUUCUAGACCUUCAAUGGUGAGCGCCAACAUCUGCAGCUGUCUUUGUAGCUUCACAAUCUUCUCCUUGCUAUCUUUGCAGGAAUAUGAAGAAAAGAGCAAUACAUCGUCGUUCUCUUCUUCGCAUUCCACUUUCUUCUUGUGCAACGUCCUCGUGACGACAGACCACUUGCUCGUCCUCGGUUUCACCAUUCUUGUAGACAAGAAUGAGAAAACAGAUUGGAGGAAAGCGAACGUGAUCUCCCUCGCCUCCAUCGAAAUCCGCAUUGCGUUUAAUAGAUCUCGAUCUUCUUUGAUGGCUGCAACUACACAUUUCUUUCCCAUCUGCCUCUUGGUAUCCUUGUUUGUGUUCUUACUCAAGCGAACGAAAGAUCGCACUUUGCUUUCAAUAGCCGCAUCAUCUCCUCUCCGAACGGCGGAUCGAACAUCUUGAACAUGCUCCUUCAUAGCAGCCAAGCUAUCCGUCAUUGCGGAGCAAAGGUCCAACAGUCUGACAGAGCCUUCCAGCUCCGCUUCUACCAAUUCCUUCCGGUUAGGAUGGGAGAGAGCAUUUCGGUUGCUUGGUAAGCAGAAAACCUCGUCGAUUCGGUCGUACAAAUCUCUGAGCCCGUUCAAGCCAUCGCACAUCAUCUGCGCAGUUGCGGAGGAUGAAGCCGCACAAGCCCGGAGCUUGUCGAGCUCUUCUUCGCACUUGAUCUCCGCAGAAUGAGAUUUCGAGGGCAAGCUGAUGGACCGAAGAUGGCAAGCCAUUCUUUUUCUGUUGGUUGUAGAAGAUUCUUCUAAUCUCUAUGAAAUUUGCUUGGCCUGAUCCUCGGCCUCGCCUUCUACUUAUAUACCGCAGUCUCAAAUUUUCUCAAGGAGACAACGCGAAUCUCAGCCACCCGAGUGCUCAUGUGCUGCCAAUGUGGAUGCUAGUAUUCAAGAUGGUUCUUGCAGCCAUUUCCACAAACAUUUGAUGGACAAUUUUCUUUAUUAUUAUCAUCUCUCGUGCGAUUUCGGAUGCCCGACUUCCUAAUUCAUAUGCCAGCUAUGUCAUGCUUCAAUCUCCAACAGCAGACACCCACCGCGCGAAUUAUACAACGGCGGUUAGAAGGAAUCAUUACGUAGUCGGCGCGAUUUCGCGACGCGAAUAAUGAACCAGAACCUGGGGAUUGGUUUGAUGGGGGAGACACCGAGAAUCUCGGCCAGUGGAGCUAUCAUGUGUUGUUAGCGUGGGUUUUGGUGCUGUUUGUGAUUCUUGUAGACAUUACCACAAACAGCUUGUGCUCGUAGUUGGAGACCACACAACUCAUACAAGGUAACGAGAAUCUUAAUUUGCUUCAGGUCCAAGCCAAGGCCUAUUAAAGCAAAAAAAGAUGAUUUUUUUUUUUUAUAUAAAAAAAACACUCCAAGAAAUGCGUUGACCUCUACAUACCAACAUUUCAUUACAUGGGUUGGUAGUUAAACGGUUUGUACUUCCGAGAUUAACAAAAAGGGUAAAAAUGUAUGCAGAAUAGUUCAACUGCAGGUCACUCUUAGAUAGCUCCUGGACUUUUCCGUUUUUCUGAUUGAUAAUGGGACGUCUGAAUUAAUGAUAUCAGAAUCGCCGAAAAUGAUCAAAAAUUCAUGUUUUUUUGUAAAAAAAAGAUCACAAAAUUGAAUAGAAUAGAGGAUAAAAUUCUUGAAUUUGAAAUCAGAGUUAUAGAUUUUGAUUUAGAAUGUUAAAAAAUUUAAAUGAGAAAACAUUUCAUAUAGGCUUUUAAAAUUGCCAACUUCUACACCAGUUAAUUAGUAGUUUAAUGAUGCAUCAUCAUUAAAUAAGUACUUGGAAUUUCUAGGGCAUGUUUGAACCUGCUCGUGCUUUUGCUUUUUUUUUAAAAAAAAGUUCUAGUACAAUAUUUGGUAAGUACUUAGAAUUUCUAUUGCAGUUGGAAGCAAAAAUCAGAUUUUGAGCGUACAAAAUAUGAGGUAUAAUUUGUCACUUUUCGUUUUAAUAUCGAGUGUAUUUUAUUACAAUACUUUCAAAUGGUUACGACCUGUAUUAACUUAAUACACAUAGAAAAGAAAGUACUUCUAUUGUAUUUUUUUUGUAGUGCUUCACCUAAUAACACCAUUUUAUGAAACAAUAGUCCUGCAAAACAGGCGCUCACAUAGCCAUUACAUGAACUAUUUUCAAGCCCAGUAAGUUAAAAGAAAUGCUAACAUAAGAGCAAAAAAGUUAGAACAACUUCUGUAGCAGAAAUAUUGUAUUAUUUGAGUUGCAAUAUGACACUACAUACAUUUUGAAACAAUAUACAAAUGGCGGGAAAAUCUGAAGUAGAUCAACCAAUUCUCGACAAAAUGGAUUGUUGGCAUUGGGCAUCAGGUUACAAGGCCUAAGAGAAUCUAUGAACUGAGGAUAUUUAGUAGUUGGACUCUACAUUGGAUCAAUCUCCUGAACAGGCAUUCUAAUCCUUCUUCUAGACCUUCAACUGUGGCCUCCAAUGUUCGCAAUUGAUUUUGCGCAUUCGCUCUCUUCUCUUCAUUAAAAUCCUUCAAAGAACAAGAACAAAAGAACGAUGCAUCGAUCUCGCACUCCUCUUCGCAUGCUACUCUCCGCUUGUGCAGCGUCCUCGAGACGAGAGACCACUUGCUGGUCUUCGGCUUUACAAUUCUCGUCGACAAGAAUGAUAAAAUGGAUUGGAGGACGCUGACGGUGACCUCUCUUGCUUUGAUCAGUAUCUGUAUGGCAGUCGACUGACCCCGAUCCUCUUUAGUGGCGGAAAGCGCUGCGAACUUGUUAUGAUCCAUUUGCUUCUUGGCUUCCUUGUUCAAUUUCUUACUCGCGCGAAUGAAAGCCUGCACUUUGCUUUCGAUAGCCGCUUCAUCUCCUCUUCUGACGGCCGAUCGGACGUCUUGAACAUGCUCUUUCAUUGCCGCUGAGUUAUCCCUCAUUGCACCGCAAAUGUCCAGCAAUCUAAUUGAGCUUCCCUGCUCUGCUUCUACCAGUUUCUUUUGGCGGGCACCGGAGAGAUCUAGCGUUUUGGUUGCUCGGUAAGCGAAGGACCUUGACAAUGCAUUCAUGCAAAUCUCCGAGCCUGCACAAUUCAUCGCAGAUCGUCGACGCAGUCAUGGCCGAUGAGGCCAUGCAAGCUCUAAGCUUGUCAAACUCUUCUUCGCACUUGAGCUCAGCAGAAUGAGAUCUCGACGGCAAGCUGAUGGAUCGGAGGUGGCAAGCCAUUCUCUGUAAGGAGAGCAAAUUAACUAAGCAAGGGUUUGUUUGAAUUGGUUUGAUCCUUGGUCACCUCUCUACUCAUAAACAAGGUGAAUGAGACACCAAGAAUCUGGGCCAGGUGAGCGCUCGUGUGUUGCCAAUGGGGCAAUGUGGUUCUUGUAGCCAUUUCCGCAAACACCUUGUGCUCGUCCAUCCCUUAUUUAUUAGCAAAGACCACAGCGCACGGAUCAAAUGAUUGUGGUAGAGCUGAGCGAAGGUUUAUCGAUUCGUUGAGAAAAAUAAUACGAAAAAAACUCCCACAGCUGAUGAAUUUGUUUGAUGGGGAGACACAGGGAAUCUCGGGGGGGUAAAACUCUCAUGUGCUCUCAUGGUGACUCUUGUGAACAUUUCCACAAAUAAAUGAUUUUCGCUUUUUGUCUUUUAUGCCUAACACUUUAUGAGAAUUACAAGUAUAUUUUGUACACUGCACCAAGGGCUCGUUUGGUGGAUCUUGCUCCCAGUGAUCAAAACAUGGUGUCCCUGAAUGACGAAGAAGAGCUCGUGUGCCAAAUCAUUCGGAUAAUUAAAUUAACAAGAAAAAAAAAAUUUGAGCACAAUGUGUUUGUGGAAAUGUCUAAAAGAAUCAAGCAGCAAAGCCAGACCUACUACAUUGACAGCACAUGGCAGGUUUCGGUUGCUGCACACUCGCUGUCGACCAAAUUUCAACUUGCUAGAGAUGCCAAUCUAUUGCCGAUUCAAUGCCAAGCAAUCGAGGAAGUUUUUUAAAUAGGUUUAUUGGCAAUAUAAACAUCUUACCGAACCAUUUGGCACUGAAUUGUGAUGCUCGUGCAGUGGAUCUUGCCGCCGAUAAUUUAAGCAUGACAGCCUUGAAAUACUUCAUCUCUUGUACUAAUUAGUUAUUGUAGAAGACAACUUGUUUGCGAACGAUGAUCUAGCGUGACAGCACACGGGGUAUUGUUUCUGUAAGAUUCUCGGUGUCUUCUCGUUGAACUACAUGAUGCUUUAUUUGCUUUGGUUUAUAAGCAGGGGGAGUUGAAUGAUCAAUCUCAUCACAUCCAGAACUUCCUCUUUUCCCUUUCUUCAAUUUACCGCAAAAGGAGAACCUUGUAAUUUAGGAGCCAAAAUGGCUUGCCAUCUCCGAUCGAUCAGCAUGCCCACAACUCCCCAUUCCGUCGUGCUCAGAGUUGAAGACGAGCUACAGAAGCUAAGAGCUUCCGCAGCUUCACUCUCUUUAACAGCGCAUAUUAGAUUAUAUGAAUCCGUCGAGGAGCUUCUUUUAUUGCCAAGCAACCAAAAAGGUCUCUCCCACUCGCUACAAAAGAAAUGGGUGGAGAGAGAACUAGAGGAGUCCGUCGCAUUGCUCGACAUCUGUAGCACAGCGCGGGAAAACUUGGCUGCAUUGAAAGUGCAUAUUCAGGAACUCCAUUUGGCGCUUCGAAGAGGAAAAGAUGCGGCUAUUGAAAGCAAAGUGCAAGCUUAUGUUCGUUCGGCAAAGAAGGCUAAUAAGGAUAUGAAGAAGCAGCGUGGAGCCAUUUGUCGCAUCAAAGAGGAUCAAGAUCAGUCAAAGACAAUCAGGCUAUUGGUCGAAGCAAGAGAGGUCACAAUCUCUUUCCUCCAACGUGCUUUGUCGCUUCUGUCGAAACAAAUGGUCGAGCCCAAGAAUAGCAAGUGGUCUAUUAUCUCAAAGACAUUUCACAAGCGGCGAGUGUCAUGUGAGGAGGAGCAAAAGGAUGAUGCCUUAUUCUUUGGUUCUUGUUCUAUCAAGAAUUUGGAUGACAACGGGACUUUGAAGGCGCGGAAGCAAUUGCAUACAUUGGAGGCCUUCAUCGAAGGUCUUGAGAAUGGAUUAGAGUGCUUAUUUAGGCAACUGAUCCAAAAUAGAGUCUCUCUUCUGAAUAUCUGCAGCUCAUAAAUAGUCUUUAAGGCAUUGUACUUCUAGUGCCAACGAUUUGGAAUCCGCCUUUUAAAGGAUUCGCAGAUCAAUACAUCUCUUCCCCUCUUGUAAAACUGGAAUGUGUAGCUACCUGUUCCAGUUGAAACACAUUUAGUUUUUCACAUGUGCACGCUCUUAUUAUGAUUUUCUGCGUUUUUUUUUUCCGCCUGACUUUGCUGUGGAAAUCUUGAAGAUACAUUUUCUUUUAUCGCAGUAAACAAAUUUCAGUUCCAAUUCAAGUGACUUCUGGAGUGUGAUUGGAUGAUGUCCUGACACUUGGGUAUUAAUACUUUUGAGUGAAUAAACUCAAGAUAGGGCAGAUCAUCUUAGAAUGGAUUUACUAGUCCUGCUACUGCUUUGAUAUGCUUUUCAAGCAAUAUAAUACUAUGCAUGAUGAACAGUUUUUACAAAGAAUGAGUCGAGUAAUAUAAAACCAGCAUCUUCAUUUUUAAGAAUGAAUCGAGUAGUGUAAAAUCAGCGUGUUCAUUUUUAAUGUUUCUCUUAAUCUAGUUUCUAAAUAGCCACUUAACAUCUGUUACUUGGUUCAUUCUGGAUGGAAAUAUUACCAUUUGUUUACUAAAUGCUAGAGUCUUUUAUUAUCUCAGCAUAUAAUUUCAGAAAUUUUGUUCCUCAACUGUGCAUUCCUUUCUGAUCAUUCUUGUGAGAUGUCAUUCAUAUUGCAAAAUGUAGAAAUUCUUCUAUAUCAGUUUAGGCUCAUGGUAAAUAUAGCAAACACAUUGAUUAGGAGAUUAAACUAAUCAGGUCUGUUAACAGAAAAAAAAAAAAACUUUGUUACCAUUUUUUCGGAUAUUCCAGCCCAUGUCAAGUGCUACUCUCCAUCAUAAAAAUUUGCCAAAUAGACAAGUCUCAAGCGAAGCACGAAAUUAUUCGUGGAAGAAAGAAAAGAAAUAUUUUCCAAGCAACUGAGAAGGAAAGCAAUAAAUUGAAGGCAUUACUCAUAUCGAAUUUGUAAGGAGUAUUCAACAUGUUCUUCAAAAUAUUUCUCUACUUCCGAAUUAUGGGCAGCCUAGAACUACUGGUUAUUCUUCGCAAACAAGCAAUGCUUGUAAUUUGUAUUUUUUAGGGCUGGAGAUGAAUUGGCAGCCAGGCAGUUCCUCAUUGUCCAAGGAUUUAAUUCUGAAAUCGUCAGAAGCGUGAAUUGGUGAUAGGCCGAACAAAUAUUCUACACUAGUUUGAUAAACAGUACUAGAACUAGAUUGUUAACAUUUCUUCGACGGCAUACUGUAACAUGCCAUUAAUCCGAGCAUUAGUCCUAGUCCUCUGCCAGAAUAGCUCAUUGCUCAACUAUCAUUAAUUCAGCAGUAGAAGAGAAGUAGUUCUCCUACAUUACCAUAGAGAUGAUGAUAAAACAAACCAAAUAUACCAAUAGAACCAUGUAUUAGUGUACGUUAUACAUAUAAUUCAACUUGGAACAACAUACUAUACACUCUGAAAUGUAUACAAAUGGGGAAAUAUUUGAAGUAGAUCAACCAAUCCUUUACAAAAUGGAUGGUUGUAGUUGGGUUUAGGGUGGCAAGAUCGAAGGGAAUUCACAAGCUGAGGACAUUUAGGAGUGAGACUCUACUUUGGAUUAGUCGCCUAAACAAGCAUUCUAAUCCUGUUUCUAUACCUUCAAUGGUGGUCUCCAAUGUCUGCAAUUGAUUGUGCGCCUUCAUUCUCUUCUCCUCGUUAUCCUUAAAGGCAUAAGAUGACAAGAUUGAGGCAUCGCCGCCGUCGUGCUCUUCUCCACAUGCCACUUUCCUCUUGCUCAAUGUCCUUGAGACAAGUGACCACUUGCUAGUCUUUGGUUUCGCCGUUUUGGUGGACAAAAAUGAUAUAACAGAUUCGAGGAGGGAGACGGUUAUCUCUCUUGAUUCUUUCAAUAGUUUAACCGUUGUCGGUACAUCAUGAUCCUCUUUGCUAUGAGAAGUAGCUCCGCGGUUUUUACUGAUUUGCGUCUUGAUAUCCUUGUUCGCCUUCUUAGUCAAACGAAUGAGAGCCUGCAUUUUGCUUUCAAUAGCUGCAUCAUCUGCUCUUCGAAGGGCCGAUCGGACAUCUUGAACAUGCUCUUUCAUUGCACCCAAAUUAUCCCUCAUUGCACCGCAAAGGUCCAACAAUCUGAUAGAGCAUUCGAGCUCCGCUUCGACCAAUUCCUUUUGGUGCGGACAGGAAAGAGCAUUUUGGUUGCUCGGUAAGCGAAGAGCCUCCUCAAUACAUUCAUACAAAUCUCCAAGACCACCCCUUAAUCCAUCGCACAUCGUCUCGGCAGUUGCUGACAAUGUGACCACACAAGCCUUCAGCUUUUUGAGCUCUUCUUCGCACCUGAGCUCGACAGAAUGCGAUCUCGAGGGCAAGCUGAUGGAUCUGAGAUGGCAAGCCAUUUGGCGUAACACUCUUCUUGUUGUUCGCCAAAUGCGAGAAGAUCAGAUUAUAGAAGCAAGAGUUAGUUUGUGUUGGUUAGAUUCUUGGGCUCUUCUCUACUUAUAAACAGAGCCCAACAAUUGUCUACAUGACGAGACACCAAGAAUCUUGGCCAGCUGAGUUCUCAUGUGGUGCCAAUGUGGCAAUGUGGUUCUUGUAGGUAUUUCCACAAACACCUUGUGUGUGUUUUCCCUUUACUCAUGCUCGUGCAAUAAUGUCAAGCUUCAACUGCUAGUAACAAAGUUCUAGCACACGAAUCAUUAAAAUUAAUAGUUUUUUUGUAAUAUGAAACAAAAAUUAACAUUUAAGAAAUAGUCAAUAAAAAAAUGGCCUAUAGCUGAGGGGAGCUCAAGGCAACUUUACUUUUUUAAUAGCCAUGGAUAAUAAUGAAGAGUGAUGCAUCUCAUUGACCAAGAGCAAUAAAGAACAAUAAAAAUUAGGACAAAAAAAAAGAAAAUGAUCACCACCUGUUGUGGUAAUGGCUACAAGAAUCACGUUGCGCACAGAGACCCACAAUGCGAGCACGUGUGUGAGCUUGGUUCACAAUGGUGUUCCAGGUAACGGCGUUGAUUAUUCAGAAAAAAAAAAAUGGUAAGAUGCUCGUGUGGUGAUAAAUGUGAGAUCAUGGUAUUAAUAAUUGGAACAUGCCAGCGCUGAACGACGAUGAAAAUGUCGCGAGAAAGAAAUGCGUACGACCUGUUUGUUGAAAUGCCUACAAGAACAGCAUUGCGGCUAGAAGGCCAAGGUGUUCCCAAUAAAAGGAAAUGAUUAACACCCUCCCAGAAAUGUGUGUUAGUUAUGAAACCAUUUAUGGCUUUUUCCUGGAUCUGAUGCUAACAUAUGUCGCGCUCGUGCGGUGGAUCAUGCUGCUAUUAUUUGAAACAUGACAGCCUUGCAGUUUGAGCAAAGAAAAUAGAGAAAGCAAGAAUUGCUGCAAGGUCCAUGCUUGAGAUGAAGAGCAUUAUUGGCAGCACAUGGGAGCUUAAAUUAUUGAGAUUCCUGCUGCCUCACCAUGAAACUGUGCCAGAAGUUUCAGGCUCUUAUAAGUGGAGUAUCUUGCGAAUCGAUUCCAUCACAACAUCUUCAUUUCACUCUUUUUAGCUACUUGACUAGGAAGAGAAUUCAAGCAUUAAGAAUGCAGAUGGCGUGCCAUCUCCGAUCCGUUAGCUUGCCCACUAGACCCCAUUCCCUUGUGCUCAAGGUCGACAAAGAGCUGCAGAAGCUGCGAGAUUGCGUGGCUUCUCCCUCCUCAACAGCCGAAAUGAUUUGCAACGCAUUCGAAGGGAUUAGAAAUCUGAAUGAGUGCAUUGAGGAGCUCGUUUGUUUGCCGAGCAACCGAAAUGGUCUCUUGCACACACAACAGAAGAAAUUGGUGGAGGAAGAACUGGAGAGAUCGGUCGAGGUACUUGAUCUCUGUGGCAAAAUGCGCGAUACAUUGGCUACAAGGAAGGUGCAUAUCCAAGACCUUCUGUCGGCUCUUCGCAGGGGACGAUAUGCAGCUAUGGCAAGCAAAGUUCAAUCUUGCAUCCGCUCGGUAAAGACAGGGGACAAGGAUAUCAAGAAGAUGAUGACUAGCAAGCAUGGACCUCUUUCUUCCAUCAAAGAGAAUUCCGAUCUUUUCAUUGUCGUCAGACUGUUGAGAGAAUCAAGAGAGAUCACCGCGUCUCUCCUCCAAUCAGUGUUGUCAUUCUUGUGCAAUCAAAUUGUCAGGCCAAAGUCCAGCAAUUGGUCUUUUGUCUCGAAGGCAUUUAACAAGAAGAAAGUUGCAUGCGAGGAGUGGCAAGAGGUUGCCAACUUUGCAUUCGCUUCUUAUUCUUGCAAGGAUAUGGACAAUGAGCGCGUUUCAAGGAUACGAAAGCAAUUGCAAACUUUAGAGGCCAAUAUCGAAGGCCUGGAGAAUGGAGUCGAUUUCUUAUUCAGGCGGCUGAUCCAAACAAGAGUCGCUCCUCUAAAUGUCCUCAGCUCAUAAAAAUUUCCUCAAACCUUCUCACUUCUAUACCCAAUGAUCAGCUUCCGCAUUUUAUAGGAUUUGUUGAUCGACGACAAUCCUCUCAAAUUUUGUAUACAACUUAAAAUGUAUAGUGUGUUGUUUGGAAUGAAAACUCAGAUAUUUGAAGGAUCCUUCAUUUCAUUGUCAACUUGGUCUCAUUAUCGUAGUUUAUGUACUGCCUUUUUGCUUGUAAACCCUUAAUUGCUUGGUGAGUAGCUUCUGAAGUCCGGCUCCAAUGUGAUGAACUUGCAAUUGAAUUAGGAAGUCAAUCAUGUUGAUAAUUUUAUCUUCAACUUUUUUUGAUUCCAUACUCCAAUCAAUUCUAUAGAUAGGAGCACAUAGUUAGUAAAUCUGCUGAUGAUCUAUAAAACAAAAUAUCUUACUGUAAAAGUAUGUCAUUGUUUUCUUUCCAUAUGGCCGGCUUACUGAUCUUUUCUCUGUUGCCUGUAAAUGCAUUUUUAUAUUUUUCCUCCAAUAGUUAAUUAGUGCAGAAAGUAUCCACUUGUUAAUAAUUUAAUUCUCAAUCACAGCUCUGCAACUGACAUGUUAAUGUCGGUCACAAAGUAAAAUUCGUUUACAUCAUAUUAGACUUAGUACAAGCAGAAAAUUACAUCAUAUAACCAUCUAAACAUUACAGUUUUCUCUCCCUCUUUUCUUUUUUUUUUUUGGAAUAAACUUAUAAUCUGUCUUCUAAGGUAUAAAUAUUGCAGUUCUGUUCACCAAUCAUGAGUUUGCAACUGUCACUGUUAACUCAUUCAUGCUAAAAACUCAAAAUACAACUAAAAUAACCAUCUAAAGAAGUCAAACUUCUGCAGAUCAAUUCAAAUCUACUUUUCUGGCAUGCAAAAUGUGAAUGCUGGAAUUACUACAAGAUUUCGAAUGGAUAGCAAGAUCACCAAUGUGCAGAAAUUUUCUACACACUGAGUUCGCGAGAAAUCUGUGCCCAAAACUUAUACCAAAGCAAGCAAGAUUUUACCGCUACAAGCUAACAAAAUCAUCUUGCGUAGAAAUUUUCUACACAAUGAACAUGCCAGGUGUGCUUGAUCUCGUCCACCAUGUCGGUUGUGAACCAAUAUCCUCGCCCGUGUGCUUGAUCUAGCUGCAGUGGAAUCUUGAUGCCCUUCGACUACGAGCUAAUGAACAUGCCAGGUUUCCAACUGCAAGCGCAAGCUGUUUGUGGUCAUGUCUACUAGAACAAAGUUCAGCGCCGAGAACCACACUAACUUCACCGGUCGAGAUUCUCGGUGUCUCCCUCAUUAAGCUGAUUCAUGAGUUACUAAUUUGUUAUUCUCUUACAUUGUCAUGCCAAGUGUCUAAAGAUUCCUUCUAAUCACAAUUGUAUAAUUCGCCAGUGUGUGAUUGUUCUUGGAGACCGAAACAUUACACAUCUGGCAUCUGAAUGAGAGAGUCGAGCAUCAGAUAUCGCACGAGCGAUAAUAAUAAAGGAAGUCGUGCAUCAGCUGCUACUGAAAAUGACUACAAUAACCAAAUUGAAUACUAGUAUCCACAUUGGCAGCACAUGUGGACUCGGGUGUCCAAGAUUCUUGGUGUCUCCUGUAGAAAAUUUUAGAGUUGCGGUAAAUAAGUAGAGGGGAGGCCAAGGAUCAACCAAAGAAAACCUGUCCUUCUCUUCUCUUCAUCUGUAUCUGUAUAGACAAGAAGAGUCUUCUACCACCUACAGAACAAAAAUGUCUUGCAAUCUCCGAUCCAUCAGCUUGCCGUCGAGAUCUCACUCUGCGGAGCUCAACUGCGAAGAAGAGCUCGACAAGCUUAGAGCUUGCAUGGCCUCAAUGGCCGUGACUGCGUCGAAGAUGUGCGAUGGAUUGCGCGGGCUUGGAGAUUUGUAUGAAUGCAUUGUCAAGGUUCUUCCCUUACCCAGCAACCAGAACGCUGUCUCCGGUGCCCGCCAAAAGAAACUGGUAGAAGCAGAGCUGGAAAGCUCAAUUAGAUUGCUGGACAUUUGCGGUGCAAUGAGGGAUAACUCGGCGGCAAUGAAAGAGCAUGUUCAAGACGUCCGAUCGGCCGUCAGAAGAGGAGAUGAAGCGGCUAUCGAAAGCAAAGUGCAGGCUUUCAUUCGCGCGAGAAAGAAAGUGAACAAGGAAGCCAAGAAGCAAAUGGAUCAUGACAAGUUCGCAGCGCUUUACGCCACUAAAGAGGAUCGGGGUCAGUCGGCUGCCAUACAGAUACUGAUCAAAGCAAGAGAGGUCACCGUCACCGUCCUCCAAUCCGUUUUAUCAUUCUUGUCGACGAGAAUUGUAAAGCUGAAGACCAGCAAGUGGUCUCUCGUCUCGAGGACGCUGCACAAGAGGAGAGUAGCAUGCGAAGAGGAGUACGAGAUCGAUGCAUCGUUCUUUUGUUCUUAUUCUUUGAAGGAUUUUAACGAAGAGAAGAGAGCGAAUACGCAAAAUCAAUUGCGAACAUUGGAGGCCACAGUUGAAGGUCUAGAAGAAGGAUUAGAAUGCUUGUUCAGGAGAUUGAUCCAAUGUAGAGUCCAAGUUUUAAGUAUCCUCAGCUCAUAGAUUCUCUUAGGCCUUGUAACCUGGUGCCCAAUGACAACAAUCCAUUUUGUCGAGGAUUGGUUGAUCAACUAUACUUUCUUUUUCUUUUUUUUUUCCAAUUUGUAUAUGUUACGAGAUGUAUACUAUGAAAUUCCAGCUCAACCGGAGACAUUCCCACGAGAUGGAAGAGCUGCAGGAACGUGUUGUCGGGAGCUGCAAAAGCUUGGUUUGACUUAUGCUUUGUGGCAGCUUGCUGGGAAAUAUGGAAAGAGCGAAACUCGAGACUCUUUACCAAUCGCCGCACUUCUAGCGAAGAACUGGGCAAGACAGUCACCUGCUUAGUCAAGCUCUGGAUGUACGUGUGGAGGAGGUAACCAACCAACAGAUCGUGGCCGAGUUUGGUUACUUGUGCGACCAAUAUAGCUAGACUAAUUUGCUUCUCCCACUCUACCUCUUGUACUCUGCUCGUUCUCCUCUGAACAAGCCUCCCUUUGUCCCCUCUGCUUGUAUUCCCCUACCAAACAGGCGAACCCCUGUUUAAUCAAAAAAAAAAAAAAAAUUCCAGCUCAAAUUUAGCAACAAUUUUCUCAAUAAGCAUUUCUUUUCCUUGGGGAGUUUGCGAGUAGUAGGCUUUGUUACAUAAUUGACAAAUUUAUGGCAAGACAUGCAAGAAGUAAUCCCGACUACAGUAAUCAUUGAUAUUUAAUUCAAAUGCUAUGUUUUGCUUGCAGUUGGGAGAAUUGCACUUCUAGUCCCUGAACUAUGAGUUAACCGGCGGUUUAGUCCUCAAGUUAGGAACCACUGAUGUUGAAUUUGAAAGUCAGAGACGCAAAUGGAACUUCGCUGAAAAUUUGGGGACUAGUGGUGUAGUAUACUCUUUCCCUAUUCCAUAUAUAUAUAUAUAUAGAGAGAGAGAGAGAGAGAGAGAGAGAGAGAUGCUACUUAUACACUCCAACAAAAGAAGAGCGUUUGAUAUACAUCCACCGUUCUAAAAUUUAAAAUUUCUUUUGGCUUUGAGUACCUAAAGAAGAUGUAAAAUUUGUACCUUCUUUUGGGAUAACCAGCAGCAUUAUUCAAUAAUUUAAUAUUAUUUAAUAUCUAAUCCAGUCAUUCAAAUUAAUUAUUCUUAUUUAAAAAGUAGUUCUAUCUUAUAGAUUCUAAACUUUGACUGUUUUAAACUUUUAAUUAUAUUGAAGAUUUUUUUUGGGAGAGAAAGGUAGCACACUACCUGCUUCAUUCAAUAGGAAAGUGAACUAAGCUUACAAGGUGGAAGCAACUUAGGCUUCCUUGGCAAAAACCGAACCCCAAAAACAGAGAAACUAAACAACAGUGGCGAAAGAAAUAAGGAAGAAGUAAUAAAAAAGAAAGUGGGUAAGAGGAAAUGGGUUACAUGAGUGAGCUCCAGUCACUAAGCAGGGUUGAAGCUCUGUCCGAAGCUCUCUCGACGUUGGGGAGGCUUGAACGGAAGACGAAGUUGUUUCGCUCAGUCCAGAGAACCCACCAAGUGGCCGCUAGCUUGGUUAGACCUUUAGAUCUUAAAGAGGCGUCGGGGGUCUGUGAAAUUAGAUUCCAAAGUCCUCGUACGUCCCCACCCGGGGCCAAGUUGUGUACCCCCGCUAGUCGUUGAAGAAGAAAACGGGCAAAGACACAGUUGCAGAAGAGGUGGUCGGCACAUUCAGGGAAUCAGCACAAAAGACACAGGAAGGGUCCAAAUGGGCCCCUCGCCUAAUCAAUCUGUCAGCCGUGGGCAGCCUCUUGCGUAGGAGCAACCAGACGAAGGUUUUGAUUUUAACCAGGAUCUUAAGUUUCCACAGGUGUUGAUUGAGCGGCUCACUUUGUCCGGCGAAAGUGAUAAAUUUGUACAAGGAGUUAACAGUGAAUUUGUCGUGAGAGGUCAAUCUCCAUAUAAGUGAGUCCGGUCUUGUGCUUGGGGAGAAUUGGAGUAGGCGUUCCUUUAGGAGUGCUAACUGUCUUCUAUUUCCCGAGAAGGCUGAGGCUAAGAAUCCUCUGCAGAUGAAACGCCAUCUCCAGCCGAGUUGAUUCCAGCAGUGGGAAAUCCGAACAUCCUUGUUCCUGAUAGCCAAGAAAAUAUUUGGGAAUUCUGUGCUUAGCGGUGUUUCCUCGAUCCAGAUGUCCUUCCAUAGCCUAAUGAUGCUUCCAUCACCCAUGCCAUAAAAAAUGCCACAUUUAAACACUUCUUGACACUAGAUCACUCCUCUCCACCACUGCGAGAAAGGUACAAAGGCUUUUCCCUCGUGCAGUGGUCUUCUUCUCGAGUAGUAAAGAUGUUUAAUGAGGUUACACCAAUAUUGAAGAUUUUUUUUUUAAUGGGUGAAGAUGUCCCUUGAGGAUCAGAAGUUUAACCCCCUUUACAAAUCAAAAUUACUGAUCAUACCUAGCGCGAUUGACUAAAUAACUUAGUGGUUGAAAUUCGAGAUUCCAAAUAUGCAACUUAGAUGCUUUUUUGCGAAAUGAAAAAGAAGAAAACGACAACGACAAAGAAGAAGAAGAAGAACCCUUGCACUUCUAGGCAGAAUCCCCCUCUUCCACUAGGACUCAGAAUCAAUGAUCCACACCCGGAAUCCUUUACCCAGGCGCCGUACCACUGGGAUUACAAUGAUUUGGCGGAGACAUGACAACCAAUGGAUGAAUGCACCAACCAUUAGUUAUCCAAGUUUGAGCACGAGGUGUUUGUGGAAAUGUCUACAAGAAGCAUAUUCACAGCAAAUAAGAGCUUCAUAGCUAAUCUAGAUUCUUGGUGUCUCCCUAUAUACAUUUGCUAAUUACAACAAAUUCUUUUCUUUUUUUUUUUUGGUUAACUCUUCCAAUAUAUUUAUUCACCAAACGUGCAUGGUUUCCACUGCAAUUAUAUGAAUCGUGUGGUUUAAGUCUUUGAUGAUAGAAGUAGAAACAUGUGCGUUAUGUGGUUUAAGUCUUUGAUGAUAGAAGUAGAAACAUGACAACGCACGUCCAUUACUAAAGCAAGAAGGGUCUAGAGGUGUUUGUAGAAAUGGCUACAAGAAUCGUGUUGCAACCAAAUAUUACAUUGGGUGCACAUGAGAGCUUGGUUGACCAAGAUUCUUAGUGUCCCAUCACCUGGUUUAUAAGUAGAGAGAGGCGACCAAGGAUCGAACCAACACAAACAAACCCUUCCUUCUUUUGCUCUCCUUGCAUUGACAUACAACAAAGAAUGGCUUGCCAUCUCCGAUCCGUCAGCUUGCCCUCGACGUCUCACUCCGUCGAGCUCAAGUGCGGAGAAGAGCUCGACAAGCUUAAGGCUUGCGUGGUUUCACCCGUCGCAACUGCCGAGACGAUUCGUGGCGGACUGAGUCGGCUCGGAGAUUUAUACGGAUGCGUCGAGGAGGUCCUUCACUUACCAAGCAACCAAAGCGCCGUUCUCUCCCGAUCACAUCGAAAGGAAUGGUUAGAACCGGAGCUCGAAGGCUCUGUCAGGUUGUUGGACCUUUGCUGCACAAUGAGGGAUAAUUUGGCUGCAUUGAAAGAGCAUGUUCAAGAUGUUCGAUCGGCCCUUCGAAGAGGAGAUGAUGCAGGUAUUGAAAGCAAAGUGCAAGCUUUUGUUCAAUCGAGUAAGAAGGCAAGCAAGGGUAUCAAGAAGCAACUAGCCAACAUGUGUCGAGCUCUUUCGGCUAACAAAGAGGAUCUAGAUCAGCCGAAUGCGAUUAGGCUAUUGAAGCAAGCAAGACAGAUCGCCAUCUCCCUCCUACAAUCUGUUCUACUGUUUUUGUCCGCAAGAAUGGUAAAACCGAAGACCAGCAAUUGGUCUCUUGUUUCCAGGACAUUGCACAGGAGAAAAGUGGCCUGCGAAGAAGAGCGCGUGGAUGAUGCCUUUUUCCUUCCUUCUUUUUCUGUUAAGGAUAAUGAGGAGAAGAGAGCGAAGGUGCAAAAUCAAUUGCAGACGUUGGAGGUCACAAUUGAAGGUCUAGAAAGAGGAUUAGAAUGCUUGUUCAGGCGACUGAUCCAAAGCAGAGUUUCACUUCUGAAUAUCCUCAGCUCAUAAUCCCUCUUGGUAACUUGGUAGUUCUUAUCAAAUGAUAACCAUCCGUUUUGUAAAGGAUCGGUUGAUCAGCUUCGAUUUAUUCACCCUUGUAUAAAUGUUACAGUGUAUAGUGCGCCGUUCAAAUUCAAAUCAUUUAUUCAUCCAAAGAUUUCUUGGCACAUCUGGCUUCUCUUUUGUGAAUGACUCUUUUGUUGUAGACUUGUAGUGGCAUGUGGAUUGAUGAUUUGUUGGCAUAUAAAGCCAAUUUCUAGUUACCAAACAAACAACAACUUAACAAUAAGUUGUUCUAAUAGAAGAUUGAGGUUAGUUGUUUUCAUAAGUUGCAAUUCUAUUUCAAUGGGAAGCACCUGAAGAAAUAAUAACAUGGUCUAUAAAAUGAAUGCAAUACUACAUUAUGCUGAUUAAAGUUCAAGAACGAAAUCGAAAAUUGAUCUUGUAAACGAUUUCAUACUUGCUGUCGAAAAGCCUUGUUGUUCGACAUUCACAGAAAAUCUCAAGCACAGAUCUACGUAAUCUUGCGCUCUUCCCUUCGCAAGAAUAAAAGCUGCCUCAUUGCACGGUUAAGUGAUGUUACAAUGGAAAAUAGAUAUAUAUAGCUGUACAUGCUUCUGUUCUUUAUUUACAAUGUUCAGUUAAAUAAUUUUGACAAAGUUAAAGGCAUUUCUACUAAAUCAGUGCUGUUAUUAAUGCUCAACAGUUCAGCUACAAAAUUAUCUUUUCGGUACUAAAUUCUGAUAACAACAUAUUAUAUAAAAUCAGCUGACUCCUAGAACAGAAAUAAGGGAAAUAUAUUGAGGGAACAGAGAAUUACUACUAAUGAGGAGAGAACAUAAAGUAAAGAAAAGAAUGGUGUAAAGCAAAAGAAAGCAACCAACAAACAAAAUAUUAAUCCUCAUGAAAACUACUUAAUUAAGGGGGAAGAGAUGCUGUGGAAGUGUUCCCUAAUGACUGAAACAGAGACAAAUAACAAGCCUAGCAUAUCAUUAAAUAUCUUCUGAUUUAUGGUCCCUUCAUGGAAAAAGCAGAAUGAUGAUAUAAAAGGGAUGCGGUUUGAGAAGGUUCAAAGAGAUGAUGAUGACACUUUAAACAGGAGAAAUUCCCAAUGCCAUAAAUUCGUCUGAAGAUUAGAGACUUAUGCAAGCGAUAAUGUUUACGACUACAAUUUGCCAAGAUACUAAGGAUUGACAAGCAAAAGAGACCGUGUAAUUUACAAAACUAAAAACGAACGUGAAAGUAAGAAUCGUCUUUGCAAAAAAAGUUAAAUAUAUGAUUUUCUUUCCAACAACACACUAUACAUGUUUACUCGCAUACAAAAUUUAGGAGGACUGAUAAUCAGCAUAUCCUAUAAAAUGCGGACGCUGGUCAUUGGGAGUAAAGUAACAAGGAAUGAGGAGAUUCUUCAUGAGCUAAGAAUAUUUAGUAGGGAGACUCUUGUUUGGAUCAGCCGCCUAAAUAAGCAAUCCACUCCGUUCUCUAGACUAUUGAUGUUCCAUUCUAGUGUUUGCAAGUGUUUUUGUACCCUCGAAGCACUUCCGUCAUCCAAAUCAUUGCAAGAAUAAGAAGCAAAGGCAAAGGCACCAUCUUUUUGCGCCUCCUCGCAUGAUACUUUCCUCUUGUUAAAUGCCUUUGAGACAAGAGUCCACUUGCUAGACCUUUGUUUGACGAUUUGAUGGCACAAGAAUGACAAAACCGAUUGAAGGAGAGCGACGGCGAUUUCUCUUGCUUCUGUAAACAGCCUAACGACAAUGAAAAGAUCGCAAUCCUCUUUGCUGGAAGAAAGAGGAGCGCACUUGCUAACCACCAUCUUCUCGAUAUCCUUCCUCCCUUUCUUUACCGAGCGGAUGUAAGAUUGAAGUUUGCUUUCCAGAGCCGCAUAUGCUCCUCUGCGAAGAGCUGAUCGGAGGUCUUGAACAUUCGUUUUCAUCGCAUCCAAGUUAUCCCUCAUUUUGUCGCAGAGGUCGAGCAACUUGACAGAUCUGUCCAGUUCUUCCUCCACCAGUUUCUUCUGUUGUGGAUGGGAGAGACCAUUUCGGAUGCUCGGCAAACAACAGAGCUCCUCAAUGCAGUCAUACAGAUUUCUAAUCCCUUCGAAUGCGCUGCAGAUCAUUUCGGCCGUUAAGGAGGGAGAAGCCACGCAGUCCCGCAGCUUCUGCAGCUCCUCUUCGACCUUGAGCACAAGGGAAUGGGGUCUGGUGGGCAAGCUAAUCGAACGGAGAUGGCACGCCAUCUGCAUUCUUAGUGCUUGAAUUCUCUUUCUAGUCAAGCAGCUAAAGAAGAGUGAAAGGAAGAUGCCGUGAUGGAAUCGAUUCUCAAGCUUCUCUACUUAUAAGAGCCUGAAACUUACCGGCACAGUUACAAGGGGAGGCACCGAGAAUCUCAAUAAUUUAAGCUCCCAUGUGCUGCCAAUGAAGCUCUUCAUCUCAAGCAUGGGCCUUGCAGCACUUAUUGCUUUCUUUAUUUUCUUUCUUCAGUGCGAGGCUGUCGUGUUUCAAAUAAUAGAAGCAUGGUCCGCCGCACGAACGCGACGUAUGUUAGCGUCAGAUCCAAGAAACAGCCAUAAUGGUUUCAUAACUAACAAAAAUUAAUUCUCGCACUCAUGUGGUGUCAAUACGGGUCUCGGUCCACAAUGUGAUUCUUGUAGCCAUUACGACAAACAGGUUGUACGCAUUUGUUUCUUUCUUCUUUAAUGCUCUACAUCUGUGAGAUUCCUGACACUUCAUGUUUCAAUUGUUGGCAACAAGAUCUUAUAUUAAUCACCACACGAGCAUCUUUUUUAUUUGUUUUCUUUUUUAAAAAAAAAUUUGAAGAACAGGAUACACAACGAACUUCGAUGUGUUCUCAUAAGAGAAACAUGUAAAAGGAGGAAUCGAUCGCCAGUACCUGGAAAACCAUGUGACCAACCUUAUCCUCACACGUGUUGGCACUUCGUUCUUCGUGCGCAAUGUGAUUCUUGUACACAUUACCACAAACAGGUGGUACGCAUCGUGUUUUUUUCUUCGUGAUCGACCGUGGAUCAUAAUUCAUAAUGACUCAAUAAUGAAAGGGAGAAAAAAAGAGAGAGAAAAAUUGUACGAGGAUAAAUAAUGGUCCAUGAACGUGAGGUGUUCGUGGAAAUGGCUACAAGAACCACGUUGCACGCACUCGUUGGCUCAUAUGGUCCACGAUGUUUCACAAGACAACGACACACAAUUUUACAUAUUUGCAGGGGCAAGCAUGCAAAAAUCCAUAUAAUAUUAGGGAUUUUUAAAGGCCAAAAUUGUAAGAUUAAGUUGUAAGCCUAGCACUGCUCUUUCUCAUACUAUUAUGGGCCUACGCACCGACCGUCCUAAAUAAGUAGCAAAGGGCUUGGUGGUUGGUAUCCGAGACCUAAGUUCGAAUCCUAGUUGAUUCACAUUUCUAGCUAAGUUUAUUUUUAAAUAAAAUAAACGAAGCGGGUAGCGUGCUAUCUAUCUCUCAAAAAAAAAUUAUGGGUCUAUGCGAAAGUAACCAUAAUAUUACGGACCUACGGCUAUACCGUACUUCUGAUGCUCAAACUACGAAUCCGAUGAAAUUUUACAUCUCAAAGUUUUUUAUAAUAAUUUCAGGCUCAAACAUUUUGGAUUAUUGCAACUGAGUUUCAUCAUCUUAAUUGAAACACGUAACUUUUGUUACCGAAUAUACCGUAGGAUGACAUUUUUGUGAUGUUCACAAAAUAAACUUUUUUAGGUAGUGCAACUUUUACUUUGCUAAGAAAUUUUAGGACUAUGGAAUUGAGACGCAUCUAAGGGGCCGUUUGGUUGCAUAUAGUUGCAACCGCACUGCAGUUAUAACUAUAUGUAAAUGCAAAUUUCGUGUUUAGUUUGAUAUAUUUAACUCCAACUGUUACAGUAGAAACUGCAGGAGGAGGCCAAACUACAGCAGUUCGAACUACGCUCAAAUUCGCCGCAGUUUCAACUACAGCAGUUGGAGAAAGUAAUUUUAAAUAAAAAGUAUACUUACAUCCUCAAUAUUUUUUAAACAAAAAUUAUUUUUUCUUUUCUACAUUGGAGGUAAUCUCACCAUCAUAUAUAUAAAAUAAUAAAAUUUUAAAAAUUAUUUCUCAACUGCAUGCAAUCAAAUAAAUUAUUUAUACUUACAGCGCUUUCUACUACAUCCAACCAAAUAAGAUUCAUGUAGUUAUAACUACUGUAUUUUCAACUGCAUAUAUUUUUAACUACACUACAUUUAUAAUUGCAUCUAACCAAACGGCUCCUAAUAGUAACAAAUAGAAUGAAGUGAGAGCAAAAAUAAUAUAUAGAAAUAUGUUUCUAUAUUUUUCGGUAAAAAUCAUCUCAUUACGAUAUAUGGAACGUCACUGUACUUUCUCACUUUAGCUUUCUAAACGUAACCUUAAUAUUAUUUCCAAACCCAUUUUCCAAUUACUUAUGAAGUACUUCUAUUUGUUAGACUCCUUUUUUUAUCAAGUUGCGAACGUUAUACCAUAAGCAAGAGUUGUAAUGGAUAAUAGUUGGUGCUUCUAGCAGGGAAAAUUAUGACAGUAAACAUGUAGAUUACAAUAGAAAAGAAAAAAAAUUCACAUAGCGUACAAAUGAUUACAGGAUAAUAAUUAUAUAAAUUGUCUUAUAACAGGCAAUAUAUAUCAAGCCAUAACUUGUUUAGCAGAAUAUAUUUUAUUUUGUUAGAUGAUUUAUAAGAAAAAACAUAUCGUUGUAAGUUUAGCACAUUAUAAUAUAAUUAGCUUGUUGUUAAUAUUAUAUUGAAUUGCUCGAGAAACUUUGAAUAUAAAAUAUUAGACAUUUUUUUGACAGUUCAAGCUUUUAAAGAUUAAUGUAAUGUUUGUCUCGUGUUAUUUUAACAUAAUACCAGAGUCUCAAGCCCAAAUGUUAAAAAAAAAAAUUGAAUAUUAAAUAUUAAACGUCAAAUAUUGCUUUACGAUUAUUUCACAUUGUUUUCACUGGUGAUGCUGAUAAUACAUACACCUAGUCCACUGGUGUUGAUAAUACACAUGCCUAUUUCAUUUUAAUUUUACUGGUGUUGAUGAUACAUGUGCCUAUUCCAUUAUCGUACGAAUACCAUGUGUUAGCAACCAAAUUUUUUUUUUUUUUUUUCAGAUUCUCAAAUCUAAACACUUCCCAUGUUAUUUCUAUUUUCUGAUUUAUUACCUGUGCAGCGUCGCACUUUUUUUUUUUUUUUUUUGUGCCUACCAAAUCCUUCCCUAUUAGACGUAAAUGGUGCAUAGAAAGAUGAAGUUGCGUUCACUUGAUAUUUAUAUAUACUACAUCAUCCCUAAAGUCAAUUGUAAGUUCUCUACACGAAUGGAUCCUGACCCAGGAACUAAUAAUAAGGACUAAUUACCUAACUACCAAUCCAACCCAAUCCAGCUUUUUCAGAAGCUGAAGCUCCAGAUUGCUAUCUCUCUUCUUUGACCGGGAAAAGCUACUUCUAAUUAUAUGUUUCUCUCAUGUGCAUAAUCACAAACGAGAUAUCUCUAUCUAUACAGAGAAAAAUAAAAUUUUGCGGGAAAAAAAUAAAAACUAAUUCCCAAAAAACAAAAGAAUAGAAUCAGGGGGGAUAGGAUGAGACCGGCUUAUUGGAUGAGGAGUUUGAGUGGCCCAGGCCCAUUCUACAAAUCUCCUUCGGGUCCGGCCCGUCCCACUGGGCCGACCGCCCCUUCACGGCCUCCAAUUCUGCUACGCACUCCGCCAUCCCCAUCGCCCCUACUCUCCGCCGCACUGCGGCCGCCUCCGUCCCCGCUGCCUCGUCAAAUAUAUCUUCCCAAUCCUUACCCCACUCUCCGCUUGCGUCGCACAGCUGCAAACUCCCGUUCCGCCACUCGGUCCAGCUCCACCAUCUAUCCAGCCCAUUUCCUACCUGGGCCGCGCACAGACCAGUGCACACGGGUUUACACGGCCGGCACUUGGAACCGCUUAGCGGGCCCGGGCUCCCCAUCGAGGCCACCGGCACGCCGUACUGGCCCGGGGGGAACCCGUACUGCCGGUCGCUCACGAUACAAAACGGGAACCGGCGCUCGUGGGCCUCCACGUGGGCCGUGUCCAACUGGGCCUUGAAUGCGGCCUCCGAAUUGAGGUCGUGGUAGCCCGCGAGGGCCAACCGGGGGACGAGGGAGAGCCGUGAGAGGGCCACCGCCGAGGUGGCAGGGUCGCCGAUGCCCAACCGGUCGUUGAGCCCGCCGUACCCCGAUCCCUCAGGGACGACGUACGAGCCCGGUUCGAACGUGCCCGGGUCGAGCGGGCCGGACCAGAAUCCGUCCACCCGGGUCCGGAUGAUCCAAUCAUACGUGAUGUUAGUUCGCAAUUCGUGGGACCUGAUCAAGUCUAGGCAACCUUCCACUAGAUUAAAGUAUUGAAGUAGACCCUGUAGAGAAUUUAGAAACUCAGACUAAAUUAGCAAAAUACAGCUUGAAAAUAUAACCAAAGCUAUAGAGAUAAAUCAGUAAUGAAGUUAUUAGACAUAUGUAUGGAAAGAAUGGCAAAAAUUCAUCAAAAGAUUACAGAUGAGCGAAGAGAGAUAUAGGAGGUGUGUUAAGUGUUAAGAUUACAUGAAAUCAAUUAGUAAUUAGAAAGAGAUAAUAGUGUGGACCAAAAAAGGCAAUAAUGGAAAAGAAAUAAACAUAUGGGACAUAAAUUAAGAAAUACAUGAGUUUAAUUGCGCAGAAAAUAAAAAAAAAAAAAGAAGAUGUUUUUCCAAUACUAAAAUGGUAUCACAAUUUUUAGAGCUUCUGUACUUCAUAAAAUAUUGUUAUAUCUUAAAAGGAAAAUUUAAGACGACAUGUAUACCAUUUUCAUGAUGUUUCUGUAUAUAUAUAUAUUAUAUAUUAUUUGCCUACGUUGGUCAUUGUCAUCACAUUGGGCUAUUCAAGAACACAUUUGAGAAAACUUUCACAAGCUAACCUUUUGAAACUGACCAAGUUAGCAUUUCACUAGCAAAUUUUAAAAAUAGGACGCUUCUCUUGGUUCAAAAUCAUCAGUUGACUAUACUAAACUAAUUAAUAAUGGUCAUCCAUAUAAACGCCCUGCCUUACCUACUCUUCUAUGUGAACGUAACAACGUACCAUUAUAAUUAUACAUCCAUGUAUUCUUUUUUAAAAAAAGGUCAUCAGUACUCUCCAUUAUUUCUUAUUAAUUAUUAUUCUUAGUUGAAUCAUAAAACAUAUUUUACCCACUCAAUAUUCUCUUUGCACGUAUUUCCUAAAGAAUUAAUCAACUUACGUUAUUUUCAAAAUUUAAUUGCAUAUCACAUGUAUAUGACUAUUUCGAAAGUUACACAAACCACACCAUGGAAUUGCCAAGUCAAAAGACAAAUUGUUAUGUUGCCAAUGUUAGCAACAUGCAUGUGAUGGCUAUAUAUAUAUAUAUAUAUAUAUAUAUAUAGAGAGAGAGAGAGAGAGAGAGAGAGAGAGAGAGAGAGAGAGAGAGUUAAGCUCCUGUACCUUUAAAAGCAAACGACCAUUUGUUCUUAUAAUCUUUUAACAGUUGAAUCGUUUCAAAAUCUACAAGAAACUAUUAAUGGUAAAGGAGCUCAACUCCCUCUCUAUGUAAUCCAUAAGAAACUAUUAAUGGUACAGAAGCUCAACUCCCUCUCUAUAUAUUUCCAAAAUACAAAAGCAGAUACUAAUACUAAACAAAUACCAGCAAUGAAAAUGAUAUGUACAAAAUAUAUGCGCAUGUAUGUAUGUGUAUGUUUCGACGUAGCGUAGAGAGAUAGAGAGAGGAUGAUCGACCUGGAUGCCAUUCGGAGAAUUACUCGGGGUGAGGACCCGCAAAUGCGACUCGCUCUCGGCGAUCGGCGCCUGCGCCGCGACGCGCACCGCGGCGAUCCGGGGCGCCUCCCGGAGCAAUCCGAACUUGUAGGCAUUCUCGUCGAGCGGCGCGUUGACGAACAGGUCGCCUUCCGGUAGCUGCGUCAGCACGUGCUUCACGAUCGACGGCCCCGUGAGCUCAAACCUCCGCGCGCCGCCGACGAGGCACACCGCGAUCCUCUCCCUAUGCGAUUGCCGAUCCGAUCCUUCGUCGCCGUCGCCAUUGUCGUUGUCGUUACUUGUAAUUCCGGUGCUGUUCGGGAUGGAUCGGGAAUGAUGAGAGGAGGGGGGGCGGAAUAGGAGGAGGGGAUGGAGAGAGACGAGUGCGGAGGCGGUGCUAGCGCUGGAAUAAGUUAUUCCGAGGAACAAGAAGAAGAGGAGAGGUGGUGGUGGUCGGAGAGAGUCAUCGCAUCACGGAAUUAGGGUUUUGAGGGGAUAAUUUUGGGGGAUAAAUGGGGACGAGACGAGGAAUUAGGGUUUGGAGGGGAGGGAGGAGAAGGAUAUGAGAGAGAGAGAGAGAGAGAGAGAGAGAGAGAGAGAGAGGAGGGAGAGAACGGAAGCAUCGAAUACGAAGGAGGUUACUACUGUGAUGAGUUUUAAUUUGGGUGAAAAAUGUACGAGACCCCCUCAACUAUAAGUUAUUUUGACACAGGGCCUUUACUUUUCAUUUUUUUUUCUUUCAAAUGCCAUUUUCUCGAUAUGUAUUUUUCUUUUAUUUGAAUUAUUAUAUUUAGUCAAGUUAAAAAUUUUAUUUAAUUUGAUAAUUUGAUAAGUUAUUAAUUAAUCAUCGAUUCAGUUUUAUUUGCUAAAAAGUAUUUAAAUUUAUUUAAUAAAAUCACCAAUAAAUUUUAUACACUAUGUAAUUUAUUUGAUUGAAAUCAUUCAAAUACAAAAAAAAAAAUGGAGAUUCGGUAGACCUCAAAAACAAAAAAAACUAAAGUUUAUAGGGGCCAUUUGAAAAUAGGCUGUAGCUGAAGGGUCUCCACACGUUUUUGCCACUGAUUUAAUAUAAUAUCUUUGUCAUUAACUUAUUUCCUAGUACGACCUUAAUUCAACUAAUAAGGUUAUAAAUGGCAAUUAACCAAUUAAUUAAUUAAUUAAUUAAUGGGUUUAAAAGGCGAAGCGUUAUAACUCGUAACAAAUGGGGGAAGUUUUGCGAAAGAGAUUUUUGAGUACGUGGCGGAGGAGAGGUGGUGGGGUGAAACGGGUACGCGGAUUCUUAGGACAGUUUUGCCCCUUCCCUCGGGGGGCCUCCGGAUUCGCGGCACGGCGGAAGCGUGAGGGUAUUUUAGUCAACUCGCGUGGCGGUUGUUGGCUUUUGUUGCAUGGCAUGACUACGGUGGGGGCUUUGAAGCGUUGUUAUGCAAUAAACGUUUCAUGACCGGCGUGUUAAAAAUAUAAAGGAUAUAAAAGAAAUAAAUUUUUUUUAUCAUAAUUAUUCUAUUAAAAAUAAUAAUACUCAAUAACAAAUUUUAUAUAUCUAUAUCUAUCUAUCUUUUAUACAUUAUCUAUACUACUUAUAAAAUAGAGAGUUUAAAAUUUUUUUCUUUUUCAAAAUAUCGGUUCCUAUUAAUAUAAUUCCAAUCACAUACAUACUAGCAAUAUCAUUUAUUCAACUUUAAUAAAAUAAAUCACAGUUGUAUAAUUUUUAUUUUAUAUUUGAAUUAUCAUAAAAUAUAUUAAUUUUAGUCGGAUUUAAUUCAAUGGCUGACAAAUUAAGUAUCUAUCACUUUUUUUAUCUAAAUUGUUCUCAAAUAGUGCAUAUCAUAUCAAAUUUCACUUUCUAUAUGCGUGCCAUAUUUUAUAAUAGCUGCCGUCCACAUAAUAUUAUAUUUUAUCAUAAAUAAUAUUCACAAUAUACGUAUUUUUUGAAUAUUUUCUUUCUCACACGCAAUAUCCGACACCUAGCUAUAUAAUAUCAAAUCACGUAACACCUUCCAUAUAUAUAAUAUUUAAUCAUAUUUUUUUAAAGGUGAAUAUAUUUUUAUAUCUCAAUUUUAUAUACUAAUAUUUAAAAUAUAAGAUAAUUUUCAAUAAAAUAUAACGUAUUAAGUGAUUCACAAAUUUAUAUUGGAAAAAAUAUCGCAUUUCAUUUACGAGAAUAGAAAAAAAAUUCAUACUUAUCUAAAUUUCUGUCAACUGAAAAAUAUCUGCUAUAAAAUAUUUUUCACAAACGCCCUAUAAAAGAAUAUAUUCCAUACUCAUCAAAAAAACAAAAAUCUCUUGAAAAUAUUUAGUAUCCACUAUCUCUCAAUUAACUAACUAAAAAAAAUUAUGUUUGAAAAAUAGAAUGAUUUAAAUAAGCUUAUCAAAUCAACUUUAAAUUUUAAAUUUGGUUCAUAAUUUCAAAUGUGAAUUAAUAUUUUAAUUCAAAAUUUGAAANUCUCUUGAAAAUAUUUAGUAUCCACUAUCUCUCAAUUAACUAACUAAAAAAAAUUAUGUUUGAAAAAUAGAAUGAUUUAAAUAAGCUUAUCAAAUUAAAUUUAUAUUUAUAUUUUAAAUUUAAAUCUGAAUUCAUUAAUUUAAAAUUUAGAAUUACUUAAAAUUUUUUAAAUUUGGAUACACAUUAAAAAAUUAAAGUUAAAAAAAAUAAUUAAUAAAUAGACUUAUACCACCAAUAAUUAUUUAAAUUUAAAAUAUAAAUAUAAAUUUAAUUUAAUUAAAUGUGACGUGCCUAUAACUAGUUUCUCCUAAAUUUAUCACAUGGCAACAUUUCCUUUAUUUUUUAGUGUGAAGUUCAAUCCGAUCUAGCUCAAGUCAUUUCUAUUUUUUUACUUGAACCGAACCGAUCAUUAUUCUGUGCGUGUUCCAAACCGGCUCAAGUUUUCUAUAUGGUUUCUUCUUUUUUUUACUUAAACCUAAUUUGGUUUCUUUUUUUAUUUACUUGAAUUAAACUGAGUCAACCUGUUGCAUUGGGCUGAACCGACCUAGCUGCUCCGCAUGUUUUCAUCUUUAAACCGAAUUUUCUUUUUUUUACUUGAACCAAACCGGCUCAAAUUAUUCUCUCUUUUUUGCUUGAAUCGAACCGAGUUUUCUCCUUUUUUUUUGCUUGAAUCUAAUCAGAUCACACCUCAGUAUUAGGCUUAACUGUUCCUCUCCCUCUUCCUCCGGCUGUUAUCUUUAUUCAUCGGCAUUUUUUCCAUCACCGUUUUUCUUUUUUUGUCGAAGUUUUCUCUUUUUUUGCCAAUUAUCUAUUUGUCUUCCCAUGAAUUACUUCACUAGUAUAUCAUAACAUUUCAAGUUCAAUUCUUACAUAGUUAUUUCACUUAAUUAGAUUUGAUUUUUUUUUAGUUUAUAGUAAAAUUAUAAAAAAUUAUUAUAACUAACUUAACGCAAUUGUUUGCAAUUUCAAAAACGGUCUGAGUUGCUAGGUGUCGCUAGGUCUCAUUUUUUUAUUUUAUUAUUUCAUCUUUAUCUAAAUUCAAUUUUAAUUUAAUGUGUUCCAUUAAUAAAUAAAACUAAACCGUAUAGUUGGGUAUAUAUACAACAGCUGUAUAAAUGAACGGUACCCGAUCUAAUUAACCCCUCCCACCAUAAACUCUACGUACUAUAAUAAUUAUAAAAAAAAAAAAAGAGACAAGAGAGAGAAAAAAAAAAAAAAAACAAUACGAAGUCCAAUUAUCAACCAAAUUACAUAAGGGCUUCUUACAUAUAAUGCUUGCGUGCUUUGACUUAAGCUUCUUAAGAGUUAUUUUAUCACAAUUAAAUAAUUCAAAAAAUAUUCAAAUUAAACUCGUUAGAAAUAUAAUUUUGAAUAUUCAUAAAUUUUCUCUAUAUUAGUUUGAAUUUUACGGUCGACUUAUAACCAAAACUUGAGUCACAUCUGGUGAGUCGACUCACAUUUUUUAUCAUAGUAUCAAAGCUAGCUCGAUACACAUAUUCUUUUUUAAGGAAAAAAAAAGUCAAAUUUCAUUUGAUUCAACUUUUAAACAUUUCUAUGUAUUGAUUGUGCGGAUACAUGCAUCCAAAUCAAUGUGGGUGAAGAUUCAAAUUUUUAGAUUUGAAAAGCCAGGACCAAACUUAAACCUCUCUAAAAGAUCAAGGAUUUUGAAGCAAUUUACCUCUUAGUUAAUAAGUUAAAUUAAAAGGUCCCAACAUGGAAGCCACGUUUUAAUGUGCGCAGAUUUUAUCGGACAUUUAUUAUAUAAAUAAUAUAAAUUUUAAAGUCGCAUGAAUGACAAAUAGGAUAGCUUUAUGUUUAGAACUGUCCCCAUCAUUUUUUUUUUUUUAUUUUUGUGAACAAAAUUUUGGUGGGGUUAGGCCAUUUUGAAGUAGGCCUCCAAACUUCAAAAUUUUGAAUUAGCACCCUCUCCAUUUUCAUUUAUUUUGAUCUUAAUUAUUUUAGCCAUAGAUACAUAAUUAUCAGCAAACUUUACAUUUUCUUCGAUUAAAAGCAGUUAAACCCAUGAAAUUUGACAGAAUUAUUCAUGAAUAUAAAAAAAUUAUAAUAUAGUUGACUAAACUAACUCAAAUUAAAAGAAAAAAAUAGGUACAAAUGUAUCAAGAAUAUCUUUUCUGUGUUUUAUUUCUUUGUUUGAGAAUCUCUCAACUUCUAAUUUGUUUUGUUUGUGUUUUCAUACACAGUUUCGGUAACAAGUGUAUCAAACUUAAUAACGUCUCUAUUAAUUAUUAAUCAUAAUUUUAUUUUAUUUUAUUUUCUAAAUAAUAAAUGAUACUAAAUUUGAUAAAAUAUCUAAUAAUUUUUUUAAAAUAAAUUUUAACGAAAAUUAUUUUACUCAAAAAAAAUUUGAGGGGUCAUUGAACAUAUUUCUACAUAAAAAGUAAAAGAAAUAUCAAUAAAAAUGCAAAGUUUGGGCCUAUUUCAAAUUUUUCUGUACUUGAGGGUUCUCCAUACUUUUUUAUUCUUUUUGUUUAGUUGACAAAGUGAGAUUCAGAUCCACACGCCAAAUUAAAAAAAAAAAAAGAAAAAAAAAAAGAGGUGUACAACUGAAGAUACUAAAUAAAACUCUAGGCAUUGGUUGGUGAGCUGAGGAUGUUGACAUUUUCUUAAUACAUUUGUACAAUAUUUAGCCCGAAUCAUAUAGUAUGACGUGGCCAUUACCCAUUUGAUGUUGACAAAAACAGUGCCUCAAACAUCUAUGAAUACGAAAUAAGGAUUUAUUAUUCUUGUUCUAAAAGAUGACCUAACUUAUUCCAACUUGAUGUACACUUCCAAAUAUAGCAUGUUGGUUUAUUCACUUAUAAAUUCCUCCACGCAACGCAAGUUGCAAAUUGAUGUGGUAGAGAGCAAGGGAGCAAUCUACGUCAUGGUUGAAAAAAAUUGUUUCGAACAUCUUUUUAAGUUAUCUCGGAUGUUCAUUUUAAGAGAUCAGAGAUUCGAUUAUCUGCUAAUGUGAUUACAUAAUAGGAAAAAAUGUAUGCGAAUAUAGAAAAGAAUCUCCGGAUUAGACCUAUGGUGAAUUUUAGAUCUUAUUUAGCACCUCUUUCUUUUUUGUCAUUUAAAUAUUUAUAUACGUUGAAGGAUCGAUGCAUCUGUCUUUAAUCGGUAUAAAAAUUAUUUAUUAAUGAAAAAUAAUAUAUAGUAAAUGUUUAGUUUUCUAAAAAGAUAUUAUUUUAAAUCAAAUCAGUGUGCGACAAGCUCCCAAUAAUAACAAGAAUAGAAGGACUCUUAUCUUAUGCAUACAAUUACCUAAUUUUGGGUUAGUGAGAGGUCUAUACGUAAAUAUCAAAAGGUUUUGUCUUCAAGCAUCAUUGAAACUUAGGUUGUUUUUGAAAGUUAGGUUCAAGUUAGGAAUGCAAACCGGACGAAUUUGAGGGCAGGAACGUUUUUUUUUUUUGGGAGGAUCGACUAAAGUGGAUUCAGAAUAGAUUAAUUUUUAUCUUAUGUUGUUAUCUGCACAUAUGGUUUUAUUCUGGACGGGUUAGGAGGGAGGCGAAUUUUUGGCAGAUAUAUAUGCUACAGAUUGGAGUAGAUUAAGAAAAGGAAGGCAUCUCUCACCUACGUCAUUUCCUCAACAGAUCAUGGCAAUUUUUUUUUUUUUAUUUUUGAUAUCAUUUACUGUAUUAUUUGGAGUAGAGAGAGAAAGUCUGGCUACUAUACUCUUAUGAGUAUAGGCCUUUUGGUACUCAUAAGUUUUCGACUGUUAGAUCUACCCAUUUAAUUAUUUUCAUCCGUUAGAUCAUACUAUUUAACCAACCACCCACUAAAUUUUAGGAAACUAUUAUUACUGUAACUACACAUCCCUUCAUCCAAUGGUCGAAAAUUUAUAAGUCUAAAAGGAUUUAUAUUUAUAAAAGUACAGUAGUAAGGCUACUAUACUCUUUUGAGUAUUGACUAUUUCAAUCAUCAUCCUCUGUAGAAUUUUC